This 83402-nucleotide long non-coding RNA is filed under the name Citrus x clementina. RNAcentral describes it as "Citrus clementina (C. clementina) long non-coding RNA (CCLE_LNC002933)". The stretch from base 43101 to 43184 matches the Rfam family "tRNA". The record is from RNAcentral. Lineage: Eukaryota; Viridiplantae; Streptophyta; Magnoliopsida; Sapindales; Rutaceae.
UUAACAUGUCUUUUAUGACUCGCAGGCAUCUUUCCUCCUCAGCCACUGCAUUCCAGACAUUGAUUCCCUUGUUGCCGUCCAGUCAGAGGUCGACAAGUUAAGGGGUGAGCUCCAAAGCCGUCAGUCUCGCGAGGAUCAGUUUGCUCGAGAGGUCAAAACUUUGCAAGAGCGCAUUACUGGCCUAUCGGGAGAGAAAGCUCGGGUGGAGAAGGACCGCGAUGAGUUGAGGGCCACCAAUGAUGAUCUGUUAUCCCGACAAAAGACGAUGGCGGAUGAUGCGUUCUCACUUAUCAUUACGGAGGUGUGGAGCGUGGAUCUGGAAUUAGAGGUACCCCGCGUGCAGAAAUUUGUCAACAAGGCCACAAUUUUGAAGACAAUUGCAGAGAGGAAGAAGUCUUCCCAGGCACGGUCAGGUACCCCUUCUGGGUCGCCUGGGGUACCCCGCGCGCUUCAGCCGUUGCCUGCCUCGAAUGCUCCUACUUCGGCUGCUCAUAUUCCGGGUACCUCGGAGUCCUCUGCUGAUCGCCCUAUGGAGACGGAUGUUGGGGAUGACGUUCCCCCCUCGGUGUAGCCUUUUCACUGUGCUCUUGUUUUUUUCGGAUCUAUCCACAUUUUGCUAUUUGGACCUUGUUUCUUUCUUUUUGGUUUCUUGGGAUAUUUUGUAUUAUUGGGACUUCUCUUUUGUUAUGAUACCAUACCACCGAGUCUUGUACUUUGCAUGCUUGUUAUUCUGCAAAUGAAUGUUUGGCUAAACUGUUAUCUCGUAAAUUUUCAAGGUACCCCUUUUUUUUUUUUAAAUGUGGUACCCCCAGUACCUUAUCAAAUAUUCAACAUCAAGCGCUAGCUGGUGUACACAGAUCGGUGAAUUUGGUGCAUGCCCUUCUUGGCAACCAUGGCGGAUUUCUCACAACUAGGUAAUCAAAAUAUCAUCGUGACAUCUCGAUCAAACGUUGAAAGCGCAAUUGGUCCAACCAAUCACUUUCUUAUUCUUUUGAAGUUCCCUCCAAAUUUUUCAAAUAGCUUACCCCCUACUUUGCUCAAGUAAGAGGACGGAGGUGUGGGUGUACUCAUACCUAAGCUGAACCUUGUGGCGCUAGGGUAUGCCGGUUUUACUCCACCCUCGGGUCCUUUUUGACCCUCCCUCUCUUUGUUUAGGUAGCUUUGUCAUGCUUCCGCAGAAAGGCUACCCUUGGGCUGUUCACUCUGUUGCCCAUCUUGGCUUUGCAUAGAUCGUCACGAUCUAGGCAUAUCAGGUACCCUGGCUGGUCUUGUGAUAGGUUAGUCAUAAUUGACAAGUGUAUGGCGAGAAUUGCAUAUAACCAGAUGCGAGGGUAUAUUAAUGGCAAUAAAUGAAUAUAAUCUGCAUUCUAAGAUCGAAGUGGCGAAAAAUAGAGAAAGAACCCACAUCAUAUUUGUUGAGAAAGAAAAUACAUUUAUAGAUAAUGAAAGCGUUGAUCAAUACAUGACUUAGCUUUGUUACCCUGAGGAGAAUGGGAGACCGCAAGACCUCCUAUCCUUUUCAUUUGAAAAUUAAAGAAACUCUAAAGUUGCAACUGACCAACAUAGGACAUUUGGGGUACCCCAUUUGGCCUACCACACAAAAACAUUAAAGAAAGCAAAUAACAGCAAAAGACUAGAGGUUAAGACAAUGUCCUUUAGUAAUAUUUCCGUAGCAUUGCAGUAUUCCAGGGGUGCCUCACGAUUGUGCCAUCCAGGUGGAGCAGCUUGUAUGCACCUGUCCCAACGGGUUUGUCGAUGCGGUAAGGUCCUUCUCAAUUUGCCCCAAAAGCGCCUUCGCAGGGUACCCUAGUGUUUUGAGUUACCAUUCUCAAGACCAAGUCUCCUUUCUUGAAGGAUCGAGGGCGUACCAUUUUUUCAUAUAGACCCGAAAUGCGAUGCUGAUAUAUGGCUGUCAUCAGUUCUGCUCUAGCCCUUUUCUCAGCUACCAAAUCAAGGUUUGAAAAAACCAAGGAGGUGUUCUCGGCCUCAUUAAAGUAUUCAACCCUGUGAGAGGGUACUCCGAUUUUCGCUGGGAUUACUGCGUCAAUACCGAAUGCGAGGGAAAACGGGGUCUCCCUGGUGGAGGUGUUUUGAGUAGUCCGGUAGGCCCACAGAACCCCAGGUAGCUCGUCUACCCAUGCUCCAUUUCUUUCUUCUAGCCUCUUAUUCAGGAUACCUUUGAUAAUCUUAUUAACGGCUUCGACUUGCCUAUUAGAUUGGGGAUGGGCAGGUGUAGCAAAUCGGUUGGCUAUCCCUAGCUCCGAACAAAAACUUUGAAAUUUUUCAUUGUCAAAUUGCUUACCAUUAUCACUAACAAUUGCAUAGGGGAUCCCAAAUCUGCAAAUAAGGUUCUUCCAAAUGAAUUCCGUGGUUUUCCUUUCUGUGAUGCUUGUUAGUGGCUCCGUUUCCGCCCACUUUGUGAAAUAAUCUACCGCCACGAUUGCAUAUUUUGUUUGCCCCCUUUCGGUAGGUAACGGGUCAAUGAGGUCCACUCCCCACAUAGCGAAGGGCCAAGGAGAGGUUAUAACUGUUAACUUCUCUGAGGGUAGGUGGGGUACCCUGGCGAACCUUUGGCAUUUGUCGCAGCUUCGUACUAUAUUCUUGGCAUCUUCCCGCAUGGUUGGCCAGUAGUACCCCUGCCGGAGAGCUUUUUGCGCCAGUGAUUGUGCUCCAUCCACAAAUUCCCUCAUGUAUUUCCCUCAUGACAUACUCGGCCUCGUUGCUUUCCAAGCAUUUAAGGUAAGGAAUGGUGAACCCUCUUCUGUAUAGGGUAUCCUGGAUCAGGCAGUACCGCGCAGCUUUGUACUUUAGUCUUCUUGCUUCACUUUUAUCUGAGGGGAGGUCUCCGUCCUUGAGGUACCUAAUGAUAGACUCCAUCCAAAGUACCUCAUUGGACAGUGAUUCUACUUCCAAUAGCUCUGGGAGACCAAAGCUGGGUGCGGGUAUGUGUUCUGUCGUGAUGGGGCCAGAUGACUGGGCUACCCCAAGGGAUGCCAUUUUUGCCAGGGUAUCAGCUUCGCUGUUCUCCAGUCGGGGUACCCUUUCCACCUUAACCUCGUAAAAUUGGGACAUCAACUCUCUGGUUUUUUCGAGGUACCCCUUCAUGUUUUCUUCUUUCGCUUGAUAUUGCGCGGUAAUCUGGCUUACCACCAACUGGGAGUCACUCUUGAUGUGUACCAUUUUUGCUCCCAAAGCCUUCGACAUCCUCAACCCCGCUAUGAUGGCCUCGUAUUCGGCUUCGUUGUUUGAAGCCUUGAAUCCAAAUUGCAGAGCAUAACAUAUUUUCACCUUGUUCGGGUCGAUUAUAAUAACUCCCGCACCACUUCCGUGUGAGUUAGAGGAACCAUCUACAUAUAUUUUCCAGACCUGUUCCCCUUCGUCGGUGGAUGGGGUAUUUGACAGGUACCUUAGAUCACCUUCACCACUCGAGUCAUUGGCAAAUUCCGCAAUGAAAUCAGCGAUGACUUGGGCUUUAAUCGCUGAACGAGGCUUGAAGAUGAUGUCAAACUCACUUAAUUCGAGGGACCAUCGGAGAAUCCUUCCGGACAUGUCUAACUUCUGGAGGAUUUGCCGGAGGGAAAGGUUGGUGACGACUGCAAUGGUGUGAGCUUGAAAAUAUAGUCUGAGCUUCUGUGCGGAGACAACUAAUGCCAAAAUGAUAUUUUCAGAGGUGGGGUACCUCUUUUCGGCAUUAACCAUAGCCUUACUAGUGUAGUAAAUAGGUCGUUGUACCCCAUUAUCAUCCUCUCGGAGUAACACGGAGUUGGUGGCAUGCUCGGAUACGGCGAAAUACAACAGAAGCACCUCUCCUGGCUCGGGUUUUGGCGAGUAAUGGAGCAUUCACGAGGUACCCCUUCAGUUCUUGGAAAGCUUCUUCGCAAUCGGGUGUCCAUUGGAGCUUCUUACUGGUCUUCAAAGCUUUGAAAAAGGGCUUACACCGGUCUGUAGCCUUAAAGAUAAAGCGGCUCAGGGCAGCUACCCGGCCUGCCAAGCUUUGAACCUCCUUGAUGGUGCGUGGCGACUUCAUGUCAAGAACCGCGCAAAUUUUAUCGGAGUUGGGCUUCAAUCCCCCGUUGUUGUACCAUGAAUCCGAGAAACUUUCCCGAGGUAAUCCCGAACGCACAUUUUUCAGGGUUAAGCCGCAUCUGGUGUCUUCUCAAAACGGUAAAGGUAUCUCUAAGGUGCUCCAAGUGUUCCCUCGCAUGCACCGAUUUGGUGAUCAUGUCGUCUAUGUACACCUCCAUGGUGCGCCCGAUUUGUUCCUUGAAAAUUUUGUUCACUGAAAAUUUUGUUCACUAGCCGCUGAUAGGUAGCCCCGGCAUUCUUCAAACCAAACGGCAUAACCUUAUAGCAGUAUAACCCACGGUUGGUGAUGAAAGCUGUUUUCUCUUGAUCGGGUUCAUACAUUGGAAUCUGGUUGUAACCGGAGAAGGCGUCCAUAAAACUAAGCAUUUCAUGCCCCGCUGUUGCAUCAACCAGCUGGUUUACCCGGGGAAGCGGGAAGUUAUCCUUGGGGGCAGGACUUGUUCAAAUCGGUGAAGUCCACGCACAUACGCCACUUUCCGUUUGAUUUCUUGACAAGAAUACCCAAUUGGGGUACACUGCUUCCCGGAUAAACCUCGCUGCUAAUAAGCGGUCUACCUCUUGUUCAAUUGCAUCGUACCUCUCUUGGUUGAAGGCACAACGCUUCUGUUUGACCGGUUUAUUACGCAGGCUGACAUUGAGUUUGUGACAAGAGAGGGAAUGUGGGAUACCCGGCAUAUCCGAGUGGGACCAAGCGAAUACAUCGUGGUGCUCACGUAGGAAGGUGAUGAGCUUCUCUCUUUGUUCCUCCGAGAGGUUGGAGCAUACUUUCACUGUCUUUGUUGGGUCGGUGGCGCAAAUCGAGACUGAAAUAAGAUCUUCAACUGGGAUACCCUUUUUUUCAUCUUUCAAUAUUCGGGGAUCCAAGGGUGCCUCGACUUCACAUUUGGGCUCCACCUGAUCCCCGUGGGGUACCCUUGAGCUAUCAUCCGCAACUACUUUUACGCCCAUUGGUGAGGAUUCCAACCGUUUUCGUGGGUGGGCUACCUGAGGAGAUUUUUUGAGUACCGCUCUUCGCUGUCUAGCAAGUGCUCGCUUUGAGGGGUAAGGUGUGGGCUGGCUGCCACUGGGGUACCCCUUCAUUGGCGAAUCAGAAGCUAUUUGGUAAGUGACUUUGGAGGCCACAGAGAAACAUCCACGAGCCGAUUGCUGGUCCCCUUUAAAGGUGAUAACUUCUUGGGCGGCCGGGACUUUCAUGGCGAGGUAGUGCAUGGAUACCACCGCUUUAGUUGCUACUAAGAACGGCCUACCCAAUAUAAUAUUGUAGGCACCUGGGUGAUCUACAAUAAGAAAAUCAAUCAUAUGAACAACACGGUGAGGUACCUUACCAAGUGCAACGGGCAGUGUAAUGAUGCCCUUUGGUAUAACCAUAUCUCCGGCGAACCCAAUAAGAGGCGUAGCAUAAGGGGUGAUCUUUGGCGACUCAAUCAAUAGUUGAUCCAAUGCGCUUUUGAAAAUGAUGUCAACGGAGCUGCCGGUAUCUACAAGAGUUCUUGCUACCUUACCGGUGGCAACCUUCAACGUAAUUACUAAGGCAUCAUCAUGGGGGUACGAGAUACCCUCUGCAUCUUUUUUUGUAAAAAGGAUAGGCGGGGGAUGGUGGGGUACCUUCGGUGUACCCCGUUCAUUAAGGUUGACCUCUCCGCCAAUAUUGGUGGUUAUCGACAACGAUCUACCAUAAUUUUUAAUAGCUCUCCUAGAUUGGCCCGCUAAAGUCGAUCCGCCCAUGAUCAUCCGGACAUACACGUCUUUCUUAUGUCCAGGGGGUACCUCUCGUUCAGGACUGCCAUCAGCUACCCGCUUGCCCUUAUCUUUCUCCGCAGAUUUCCGAGCUUCUCUCAUGCCAGCAACAAAUUCUUUAAGGUACCCGCUGAGAAUCAAAGAUUCAAUUUCCUCUCGCAAGGUGAAACACUCGGAUGUGCUGUGACCAAAGUCCUCAUGGAACUCGCAAUACUUCAGGCUACGCUUCAUGUUGGGGUACUUCUUCAUUGGCUUAGGAGGACGGAGGAGGCCGCUAUCCCGAAUAUGGUAGAAGAUCUGCUCUGGGGAUUGAUUCAGUGGAUGGUAAGAUUCGUACCAAGGCCUCGGUGGUGGUUCUCACUGAUCCGGUGGUGGCGAUCUUGGAGGUUGGGGUACCCUUGAGGUACCCUGAGGGUUAUACCCUCGUCCCCACAGGGCAGCCCGUGGAGGGCUCCGUGCUCGGGGUACCCGCGGUAUUGAGGCCUCCAUCCUCUUGGGCUUCUCCUUGUUCUUUGUGACAUCGGCCCUAUCCUCUUGGCGCUUCAAUUGGUAUUUUUCGUCCAUCUCCACUUGCUGCAACGUGCGGGAACGGGCUUCCCCAUAUGAAAGUGGGCGCUUCUUUUGAAAAGAACGCCAUAACUUGCCCAACCGUAAAUUUUUCUCAAAAUGGGUCAAUGUGUAUUAGUUUCCAAAUGCUCCGGUCCGCAGCACCUCUUGGUGGAAACGACUCACAUACUCCGCCAAAGGCUCGGCUUCCCAUUGCUUGAUAAAGACAAGUUUGGAGGCUACCCUAUCGUAGGUGGAAGCAUAGGAAAACUCUUUAGUAAAUUCGGAUAACAAUUGGUGUAGGGAAGAUAUGCUACCCACUUUCAAAGAGCGAAACCAUGAUUUCGCGGGGCCCGUGAGUGUGUGUGUAAACAUCCUACACAUGGCACUCUCAUCUACACCCUUGAUAAGCAUCUGGUCGCGGUAUAGCUCAGCAUGCUCCGAGGGGUCAGUGGUACCCGAGUAUUGGGGUAUCUGAGGCAUGGCGAACGCUUCGGGGAGAGCUGUCGUCCAAAUCUCCAUAGUGAAUGGCGAUUGGUAGGUCAUUGGCGUUGGAGUAGCUGUGAUGUUUUGCUUCUCAGAGAGGAGCUUCACUUGGGCUUCCAGGUUCUCCAUUUUUUCCACAAGUUCGAGGGGUACCCUCGGUGUACCCGAUGAUGUCGCCGCCAUUUGAGAAGCUCUUUUGGCGUUUAACUUCUCACGGAGAUCUUCGUGGGUACGCUUUGCACACCUCGUAUCUUGGUUGCUGCGGGAAUUACAAGAGGCGGUGGAACGCUCGUCGCGGGAGCCCACGGUUUGAAACUUAGAACGGGUACCCGAUGGCCUAUGCUUUGGUUUGCUGGCCUCGGGUACCUCUUUUCUGACCAUAUCUUGGUCACUUGUUUGAGGUGGUGGAGCAUCUAGCGUCACUGGUGGAAGUGAACUUUCGGGUGCCCGAGAUCCAACCGCCCUAAGUAUUGCGUGGGCAAGAUCCUCGAAACGUUUGUGAGAAAUAGAUUCCUCAUCUUGGCGAACACCCGUCGAUUGCUUGAUACCCUUACCCUUACUGAUGCGGGCUACCCUUCUUGCGGGAUCAUUACCUUCGCUGCUGCUGUCAUCUCUCAUCCUUGUAGGAUCCCCCAUUAAACCUUCGGGAGGUACGUCGGGUGCCGUGUAUUGGAGUACACACAACAACUAGUUUGGUAACCGCGGAGGAGGCUUUUUGUGCGUCUCCCCACAGACGGCGCCAAUUGUUUUCAACUGAUUUUGGGGUAAGAAAAGCCAAACCAAUCUAGAACAAUAAAUUUGUUAUUUUGAGGGAGAUGGGGUACCUCACUAGUUUAUUGUGUGCGGUGCGGUGUAUCUGAAAUUCGGGGGAGGUGAGAAGAGGAGAGAGAGUGGUAACAAUGGUGGAAGGUCAGAAACAAGAGAGGUGUCCUUCAAAAUGAGCUUCACGCCUGCAAAACAAUGAAAUAGAGGUCAGAGGUGAAGCCGGGGUACCCCGGCGUUCACACUCCAACGCUCAAGUUAGCAAACUCAAGCUUUUAUGGUCAAGAGAGCUGGCUAGCCCUCUGUAAAUUAGGGUUUAAGGUUGAAGAAAACCUAUUUUUUGGAGUGUGAGUGUUAAUGGUGAGUGAGAACAUGAUGGAGAAUGAAACAUAUGCACCUUUAUAUAUGGAGUACCUCAGCUGCCACAUGGCGUACCAUUUUUAGUUAACGUUCUUUUACCUUUUUAUGAUUUUUGGGCCGUUAGGUGCAUGUUGGCGGCGUAUCUCAUGCUUUGGAAACGUGGUGCGCGCUGGAGAGUGGUCCAUGGUACCUCUGCAGUAGCUGUCGGGUAGGCGGCUGGGGACCACUGUCCUUGGGACAGUGUCCUUCACUUUUGGCAGAGGUAGCAGGCGGUUGUCCCUCCUUUUAGCACAUCGUUUUUUAUUCCUAAUUCUGACAAAAUCGAAUAAUAUCUUUUAGGAGGCGGAGACGUUUCUCAAGGCGGAUAUGUCUGGAGGAUUCUCUUGCAUUCGUUCUGUCGGGUACCUCGAGUUACGUGGGGUACCUCUUAUUAUGCGGGGUACCCUUAUUUGUAUGGGGUACCUCAUAUUAUAUGAGGUACCUCUAUUUGUGUGGGGUACCUCUAUUUGUAUGAUGUACCUCAAAUCACGCCGGGCAUCUCGAAUUGUGCGGGAUACCUCAGAUUGUGCUGGAAUCAUUCCAUUGAUCGACACGUGGCGCUUUACUACCUUUCCUAUUUUUCCCUCAAACAGAUAGCUAAUUAAAUAAAAUUAUUUGAAAAAAAAAUUCAUCAAAUGAAACUGUUUUUAUUAUAAGAACUAUGAAUAAUAUAUUUAAAAAAUCCCAAAUUAUACAUAUCAGUUAAGUUCAGAUUUUCCUUCGGCAGCGAAAUUUGUGGGCAAAAUACUAUACACAUAAAUCUCUAAUUUUUCCCUUAAGAUGGGUAUAUUUUCUCAGAUGGCCUUCCUGAACGAACCCACAUUUCUCCAACACUCUCUGGGAAGCCUUAUUUUCUACAUCAAAUUAAGCUUGUAAUCUUAACACAUCGGGAAAGUCCUUGAAAACUUCAUUAAGGGCAAGUUUCACUGCCUUGGAGGCAAUCCCAUGGCCCCAGUACUUCACGGCAAUAGCAUACCCUAUAUCGGCCCUACACCUGUCGUCACCCGAUCCCGGGAAGAUCGAAACGAACCCAAUCGAACGGUCAUAUAUGCAUAUGGACCUACGCCAAGGGUGGGGUAUACAAACAUCCUUGAUGUAGGUCAACGCUUCUUCCCCGGAUGUAAAAGUGUUCCAUCUGAGGGAUCUUGUUACUUGUUCAUCCCCUGCCCAUAACAUGAAAUCAUCAACGUCCGUUGCCUUGAAUUGACGGAGGGUGAUCCUUGAUAAAUCAAUCUCCAUUCGGUGAGAGGACACUGUUAACUACAUUUCUGCUCUCAUUUUAUUUGUAGCCAAUUUCGGACAAGCUUUUCAAUAUUAAAUGCGUUACCAGUCUUAUUUUAUUUAUAGCCAAUUUAGGCGAUACACGUAAGAGGAUGACAAGGGUCCAAGUGUUGUAACCACAAUCUGAACACUUUUUUAAGUCGGCAAAAUCUAUCUAUUCUAGGCUGUGGAGUAGGGUCGGCUCAAUAAAAUUUUGGGCCCUACGCAAAAUCUCUAAAUUAGGCCUUCUUAUUUCAAAGAAAGUUAAUUUAUGAUUAACAUUUUUACAAUAAAUAUGUAUGAUUACUUUUUUUAGAUAUAAAUCGUUAACAAAUUUCCUACAUGAUAAUUAUUUAUUGCAUUUAUUUCUUUUUUCUUAAAGAAGAAAUCAUUAAAUAAUUUUAUUUGAUGGAAAUUUAACUUUAAAAAAGAGAAUAAUUCUCAACUAAAUCUCGGUGGGGUCUAAAUUUAAUUAAGAUUUAAUGUUAAAUGAUUGAAAAAUAUUGAAAUCCUACAUUUUAAAUAAGAAAAUAAUUAAAAACAAUUUUUUUAGUGGAGCUAUAUAUUAAGGAGUAAUGAUACAGCCACAAACUCUUGUACAAACUUAUUUUGUACAAACUGAUGUGGCAUGAUAAUAUUGGUUGAAUUAAAUAUCACUUGGCCCACAUGAUUUGUUUUUAUUAAUUUAUAUUUUCAUUCAACCAAUCUUAUCAUGCCACGUCAGUUUGUACAAAAUAAGUUUAUACAAGAGUUUGUGACUGUAUCAUUACUCUAUAUUAAGAUGGGGCGUAAUGUUUAGGUGAGCAAAUAUAAUUAUAAAUAAUAAAAUAAACCUAAAAUAGGAUUUUAGCAGUUCUCUGAUUGUAUUACGAAUAGGAAACUCACUUAAAUGAUCAAAAAGUCAAAGAGGCAACAAAUUAAGUAGUUUUGCUAAAAGCGAAAAAUAGAGAGCCCGAAACUAAUAAAAAUUUAACGAGAGUUGGGAGGGGGCCGCGCGAACGCAGGCCCCCACUGCCACAAAUUAUGACGUAGGCUCAACCACUUUGGGUUGACCUUAGGCGGGUGCACCUCCCAAGUGCAAUGGAGGCCACCAACCUAGGCCAUGGGCCUUCAUGAUCGCCCAUUGACCCCGUCCAGGUAAGUAUGUUCUUCAGUUGCUUGGCGCUCAUUAUUUAUAUCUUUUGUCAUGGCUGCUUUUUUGUAUCGCUUCGAUGUGGGAUACAUUAGUUUUUCAUUAACCAAAUUACCAAAGCAUAGCCAUAAAAUAGAUCUCUUUGACAGACACUAUCAUAUUGAGGAUCAACUCAUACAAGUUGGCAACAAUUGUUCAUCAGCCAUCACGAUGAGCUUAAUCCUGAAAAAUAUUCUAUACUAUUAUUCCGUUAAAGCAAAUUAAAACCUGAGAAAUUCAACCAACAAAAAAAAAAAAAAACCAUGUAAAUCGACUGACGAAAACCUUGAGUAGUUCUUUUAAUCAUAAUGAAAGAGUGGCAGUUACUUCCAACCAUCUGACCAUUCAGCUUCAUCAGCAAGAGGUUUUGGAGUUUCCGUAACCUCUUCAGCUUGAAAUGGUUGUCCCGACGAACCUGAGUUCGAGGAAUACGGAUCAUCUGCACACUCUUGUCUUUCAGGAGCAGGGCAGCCUUGGUAAGAGUUAUUGUCACAACAAUGCCACAACAGCUUGUUCCAGUAAGGGUCCUGCAUUCAGAAGAACCAUAAAUCAUUAAUUUUCUCAACUGCCUAAUAUAUCAUACAAUUAUGCAUACCUAGGCAAGAUUAAUAUUUCAGAAAAUCCGAAAGACAUCCCUCAGGUAGUUGUGUAAUGGUGAUCGAUAAAAUAUUGUUUAAUGAGUGGACAAUGUAAAUGGCCUCACUAGACACUGUUAAUGACGGCAAAAAAUGGACUAUGCUUCAAAGAAUAGACUGAUAAAAGAAUGUACAGCAUUUAAUACUGCAGAUAUCUGCUUCUUUCAAAUAUUCCUCUGAGAUUAUUCCAAACCAUUUUAUAAUCUAAAUGACCUUGCAAUUGUAAUGGUUCGAUAAGCAAGCAUAUUAAAUUAUAGCAUUGGCAAUGUACUUAGAAGAGGAUAUGUGAGUACCUGACAGACUAUGUGAGGAUUCCCAACAAUAAUAAGCAGUGAUCUGGCACGAGUGAUGGCAACAUUAAAUCUCCUUGGAUUGCUAAGAAAUCCGAGACAGUAAGUUCUGUCAAAUUCAUUGUGUUUGACUGUUGAUCUGACAGUCGAUACGAUGAUGACCUCUCUCUCUUGUCCUUGAAAUUGUUCAACAGUCCCGACCUUAACAUCCGGCAUAUCCCAUGUUUCAAGUACUUUCUUGAUUUUGAGGACCUGCUGGCGGUAAGGUGUUAUAACCCCAAUAUCUGUCUCAUUAAGCUCUGUAUUUUCUCUCAGCUUGUUGAUGAUAUCGACAACCUUGCUUACCUCGAAUCUGUUAAACCAUGAUGGAUUGUUACCCUCUCUUUCAUCACAGCCUUGAAUACCAAAGAACAGAACAGGAAAGUCUUUGUUCGGAAAGAUGUCCACCUUAGCACUUGACAAGGAAGUGGCAUCAUCUUUGCAUGCCAGUAACUCCCCUCCAUAGAAGAGCUUCGAAGGGAGAUCUAGAAUUGCAGGAUGACAACGAUAAUUUCUCACCAGCUUUGUAACAUAACCUUCAUCUCCAUUGCGGUAAAAUUCACAUUCGAAAAGCCUUUCAAGAUAUGAUUUUCCUAAUCCAAAAGUCUCCGCAUCUUUUGAAUAUAUAACCGGACCUAGUUGCUUCGGAUCUCCAGCAAGAACAACAACCGUUUGUUUUGUACAAAGGUUUGCUAUGGGAAUCAUGCUUUCUGGCUCUGAAGCUUGUCCGGCCUCAUCUAAGAAAAUGUGAGAAAAAUUACCACGUUUGAUACCAUUUGUAUUAAGUAGAGAUGAACUCAUAUAUGUAGAAAUGAUGAUCCUGUAACGCCCCAAGGCCUCGCGUGGAGGGCAUUUGAAAAUGGACCCCUCAAAAAAGCAGAAGCGAAUAAAAUCAGUUGGAACAUCCUCAUAAGGACGGCUUGUAGCAUUCAGCCUAAGUAUUUCAUUCUCUUUAAUUCCAGCAACUUCAUUGGAGAUGAGUCUCUCUAACAUGUGAUCUGCUGCACUGUUUGAAGCAGCGCAUACAAGAAUCCGACUAUGCUCUCUAGUCGAAUAUACUUGUAAGAUUGCUUCCACCAGAGUCAUCGUUUUACCUGUGCCAGGAGGCCCAUAAAUCACAUAGGGAGGCGCACCUUUGCAUCCAAGGAUGAUCUCAACAGAACGCGUCUGUUCCUCAUUUAGACUAGUAAAAGGCACAAAUGGGGCUGCCUUAAUCGAUCUCCGUGUGGUUGAUUGUGAUGGAAAGAGAAGAUUGGGUUCUAAAUUCUCUGCUGCUUGAACUGCUUGAUACAUCCUCCUCAUGUUUAUCCUAUUAUAAGUGAAGCUGACAUUGUACAAGCUGCCAUUUCUGUGUUGAGUGUGAAAUUCUUUGGCGAAUUUCAGGAUCACUUCAUCAGCCUCGACACGGUAGAUGGAACCCUGUAAACAUCCCUUAAAUAAGUAUAAAGAUUUUGAAAAAGAAAGAUUAUACUAUUCAAAAUUCAAUAAUAUAAGUUCAUAUAUAAAUAUAUAUAAAUAACUAAGCCAUUGAAAGUAGUUAAGACAUCCAUGCUCAAGAACAAGCUGAUCAAGGCUCUCCUCAAGCUAUGUUUUCAAAAUAAAUGACCAAAAGAGAAAUGUAUUGUGGAACCAUAUGCAGUAAAAUAAAAUCAUGAAUAGGCAGCAUCAUGACUUCAAAAGAGAGAGAUGAGAUGUAACUUCAUUGUCCCAUUAGUUUAGAAGCAAGACAUGGUUGGGCAAGGAAAAGAUUAUAAAUUUCAAAUUGAUUGGUGUUUCAACAUUGAAGCAUGCUACGGCACUCUUCUGAGAGAAGAAACAAUUAUUCCAAGACGAGGAACAAACCCGACACACUUUCUUGGCAUCAGCAUUUGCGGCAGCAAGCUUCACGAAAACGAAAUCCCCAUGUACAAGUGAAGGCCUCCUCUCAGCUAAACCCGGGACAUCAAGAGCCAGUAAGUGAGCCCCUUUCCUCCUCAUGGUGACGCAUUCCAUGCUAUGGCACCGCAUAUCUUCCUGCACGAAACCAAACAAUUUCAGAUCCCACUAGAAAAAGAAGAGAGCAGUUAAAGAUUAUUACCUCAACUGAGAUGGCAUUAAUUAAUUACCUCCAAACGUAGCUCUUCCAUAACAAGCAAUGUACUGAAAAAAGAAAAAUAAUUCUUCCUCACCAGGCCCUCUACCAGAAAUUGAGGGAGUAUCUUGUUUGCCAGCGACUCACGAACAUCAUUUGGGAUUGGAAAUUCGGGGAGCUUAUAAUUGGAACCUCGUUUUGUUGUUCUAGCUUCUGUUGUUGUUCUAGCUGGACUCGAGGAAGCAACAUAUUCAUCAACUGCAGAUUGCAUUUUUCUUGGUACUCUCGAGUAUGGUCGAUUAGAAGCCAGAGACCGAGAGACACUGUCUUCAGCCAGCAGUAACACCAUUCGUUCAAAUCUAUCAUCCCCGAUAUCAAAUUGCACCACAGAUUUAUGCAAACCCAUUUCCUUAGGCUUGCAAGAUAACCAAAUGGUUAAAGUCCUGAGAGGUUGAAGCACUCUGUCCUCAAUAGAGAAUCCCUCUAAAAAGCCUUGAUCUUUCUGAGGGUCCGGUUUGCCUGAAGGCGGUUCCAUUAGAGAUAAAGUGAGAGAAUUUGCGGGCUCUGAGCAGUAGAUUCUGAUUCCCCAAACUUCAACCGGUUCAGGAGUAGUGUUCUGAAUUGUAAUUGAACACUUGGAAGUUUCUCCUACAAGAAUAGACUGAGGUUUCCCUUGAACAAAAGGAAAUGGAACCGAUAUGAUAACGGGACCCUCCCCACUUGGAUCAUAGCUCAAAACUGAGUGAUCGUCUUGAAAAUCAAUAAAUCCAAUCUCUCUUUUUUCUCCUGUGACAGAGCAUUCGUCGUCCCAACAAUCCUUUUCAAGGUUGCUCAUCGUUCAAAUGGUAUGAAUCAAACUAAGUUCCUGAAAUGCUUAACAUGUACCAAUAAAGUAAAUACUACUUACACAUAGAACAAAGAUACAGCAACAAUUCAUCACAAAAAAUGAUCCAAAGGAUAACACUAAAGUCACCAGAAUAUAAAGAACAAUAACACUCUUUAACGAACAGAAUGUUACAAAAGUCUAACACCAAGAACAACAUUCAACCUUUGAAGUCCCAAAAAUUUAGUAGGAGUAUAGUUUUAAUCAAUAUUAACAACUAGAAUUUCCAACUCUUCACUAAAGUAAUAGCAUCCAUUCUCUCGGCCAUGAUUUUCUCAAAAUCAAAAUUAAAAAAAAAAAAACACAAGCUCAUUUGAAAUACAAGACAUGGUAAUAAGAUUAAACGAACUAUAAUCUGAAAAGAGAUAACAAGCACGAACCUUUGAUUGAAAAAAAGCCUUAAAAUCUGAAAUGGGCAGUGAAAAGUUUGAAACUUCAAUGGGCAGUGAAAAGUGAAUGUAUUAAUGCUGCAUUUGCAUUUGCUUUAAAAGGAAUUGAACUGGCUUUCUACUUCAGAAGUUGGAAGGACAGAAGAAGCAUAAGGAGAGUGAGUAGAAGAAACCGCCUUUCAUAAAGACAACGUGUUUUUGAAGUUUCAAUGCAAGUACUAACAAUAAGCGCGUUUUCAGAACUAAGAGAAUCUCAGAUUUUUGUUUCAGUACGUAGAAUUAAAAAGACUGAUGCGAACACGUGGCAGGAUAUUACUGGGUACUUGUUGGGAGUCAAUAGACAGUUUGAUGGGUUUACUUUUGCCAAAGGGGAAAAAAUUAAAAAAGAAACACGGCUGUUCUCUCCAUUUGAUAAUAAAGGAAACAUAACGAAUUGCUGAGCUGUAAUCCGGUGCACUCAAUAUCAUGAUAGACGCUCGCGUUUUAAAAGGUUAUUGGCUCAAACCAUUCUUUGAGGAGAUUCGUGGUUUGUUAUUAUGUAUUCGAUUGUGGCUGAUCACUGCUUCUUACUUGUUGCCUUGUUGGAGAAGGGCUGUUAUUAUGUACUCGAUCGUGGCUGAUCACUGCUUCUAACUUGCUGGAGAAGGGCUUUCUUAAAUGGACUAAGUAAAGAAUUUGUGGUCUGUUACUUCUUGGAGAAGGCUUUGUUAUUUGCCCCCAGCCGAGUGCUCUCAAGAGUUUUAAACUUUUAAUUUAACUGCCCAGCCGAGUUUGAAUCUGGAAUAGAUAAUUAAACAAAUUAAUUUGAACUUUACUUUUUUUUUUCCCGCAUUGAAAUAGAUCUGGCUCUACAAAAUUCACGCGGACUACCCAAAAUCAGUACCCCCACCCCACGGCCUUCUUGAUACUACUUGAUGAUGGAGAUGCACGAUGAAAAAUGAUUUUGAUUAUGAUAUAACAAAAUACGAAGAAAUGAAAAACAAAGUGUGAUCAAGAUAAGGUAUGUGACUGCAUGAGUAUAAUUAAGUGUGUCAAGCUUCGCUACAUGCUGGACUUAGGUAGCUUGAAAUGUGUACAAUCGCGCACUAGAUCAAUUUCUAAUGAAAACAUAUUGAUAUGAAUUCAAACAUUAUUAUCUAAAAUCUUAUUAGAGUCAGCCAAAAUUUGACAUGUUUUAUGGAGGGGGCUUGCCAGAAUUUAGGGAGAUGAGUGAUGCUAUUGGCAUCCCUAAAAACCCCUCAUAGAGUUAACAAUUUUUUCAUUAUUCAAAAUUACAUAAAAGGAUAACUGGCAGAUUUUGAAAUAAAUAUCACUUCUUCAAUAAUCUAAUCGCAGGUAGAUUAGAUGAUUUUUCUUCUUUUUUUGAAGAUGGCCUUCAAUUCACUAUUAUUUUUACAAUUUUUGUUGACAAUUCCUUUCUCAACAAAAUAUUAAAGGAAUUACAUCUCUAACUAUUGUCAACUGUAUCGUGCGAAUAAUUUGAUAUUUAUAGCUUUUUUUCUUUCUUUUUUUUCUCAUUAAGUGUACGUUUAUUUGGUCAUAUUUAAUUCUUUUCAAAUCUUAAAAUUAAUUUUACUUUAAAAGAGAGAGCCUUUUUUCUUAAAUAAAAAGUAUGAGCGUUUAAAGAUAAUAUUAUCUUCAAUUAUAGGAUACAAAGAUAAUAUCAUUAUCUGAAUUAUGAUGGGAUAUUUGAUGGGUGCUUAUAGUUUUAUUCUAGGGAAAAGCAUAUUGAUAACAACCCAAACAAACGGACUUGACUAGCUUACAGAAUCUGUAAGCUACAGACUGCAGCAUCAGCCGUUGGAUGUGGUUGGAUGUGGAGUGAGAAACUAAACAAUAGACAAUCGGAUGGUGGGAUGACGGGAGAUGUUUGUUACAGAAUCUGUACCAUAGACAGGUCCCAAACAUUAAUAUCUAAAAUCUUAUUUGACUCGCCAAAACCUGACAUGCUUUAUGGAGGGGACUUGCUAGAAUUUCCGAUAGAAAUUAUGGCCUAGGAUCAGCCACCAUGGGCUAACCUUAAACGGGUGCACCUCCCAAGUGCAAUCUAGCCCACCAACCUAGCACAUAAGCCAGGAGCCGUCUUCAUCACUCAUUCACCCACCCAAAUAAAUUUUAGUGUACAUUUCUCUGCAUUCCUUAUUUAUAGCUAUUAGGAAAGCAGCACGAUCGUCUCUUGCCGACGUGGGAUUAAUAUAGUGUUUUCAUACUUUGUCAAGAGUCGGAAAUUGAAGAGUGGAGACUAUAUGAAGCAGCUAUAUACUGUUGCAAUUAAAGAUGGUUUGAUGCAACAAAAUUAGAAACAAACGUUGUUUCUACAUUAUGGUGACAAUUGUUCAUGUCCAGCAAAUGUAUAUUUUGGCAUAUUCUUAAAAGAAAACAAAAGCAUAACGUUUCUCACAAGAAUGUUGUUACAUGCCGUACACAACUGAGAGUUUGAUAAAGUUUUAGUUAUGAUCAAUAUGAUGUAUAUCUUGCAUGAGAAAUAUGUUCAUGCAUGAAUUGGAAUCUCCAUUUAUUUAUUUAAUUUAUUUAAGGCCUUAGUAUACUGUAUACAUAGCAGGAGAGAUGUAAAAAUACAUCAAAACACUCAACAAUUGUAUGUACAAGUGCACUUUUGGGGUAUAAAUGGUGCCGGAUGAGAAUCACAUUGUCUUUCUCCAUUGUACCUAUUUUGGCAAUCGUCUCUACAUUGAUUAUCGCCGUUGCAUGGCCAAGUUUACACGCAAAGUUUAGGUUCUUCCGCUCGUACCCUGUUUUCAUCUGUUUUCAUGCACAAUAUAUUAGCUAUUAGGCAUGCCUUGUGAAAAUUUUCAUUAUAAUUACGUACUUAAAACUACUUAAUGAAACCAUAUCACAAAGUUUUUUAACAAGAAAAAUGAAAAAAGAGAUUUAUCAGUAGAGACUAGGAGACCGAGAGCAAGCAAUAAGCAAACUAUAGUAAGCUUCAUCAUCUUUUGAAAAUAUCAACAGAGUUUUUUUAUAGAGUUCUAAAAAAACUUUUGAGAAACUCUUCUAGUUACUUUGAUUGGAUAUCUAUCAUAGAACAAGGAGAUGUAUUUAUAGGGGAUAAUAUGAUUCAUACAUUAAGUUACUGUGUUCUAAAACAAGAAUGUAAAUCUAGGAACGAGAAUAAUUUGAAUAACUAUUAUGAUUUCUUAGUUUUGGUAAGUAAAUCAAGAACUGGUAUGACAUCACGUAAUUAAGUAAAUUCUAUUUACUUACCAAAACUAAGAAACUAUGAUAACUAUUUUAUUCAAAUUAUUCAUAUUCCUAGCUAUAUUUACAGUCUUGUUUUAGAAGAUAGUGAAUUAAUGUUUGAGUCAUAUCAUCCCCUAUAGAUACAUCUCCUUAUCCUGUAAUUGAUAUUCAAGCAAAAUAGUUUCUUAAAAACCUUUCAAAACUCGAUAAACAACUCUAUUAACAUUUUCAAAAGAUGGCAAAGUUCAUUGUUGUUUGCUUGUUGCUUGCCCGCAUUCUCCUAGUCUCAGCUGAUAUAUCUCUUUCUUCAUUUUUCUUGUUAAAAAAAUUUAUGAUAUUGUUUCAUUAAGUAGUUUUAAGUACGUAAUUAUAAUGAAAUUUUUUCACAAGACGAGUCUAAUAGCUAAUAUAUUGUGCAUGCAAAUAAAUGAAAACAUGGUGCUCACAGAAGAACCAAAGCGUAAACCUAAACAUUGCGUGCAAACUUGGCCAUGCAACGGCAAUGAUCAAUGUAGAGAUGAUUGCCAAAAUAGGUGCAAUGGAGACGAAUAUGAUGUAUAUCUUGCAUGAGAAAUAUGUUCAUGCAUGAAUUGGAAUCUCCAUUUAUUUAUUUAAUUUAUUUAAGGCCUUAGUAUACUAAGGCUUUAAAUAAAUUAAAUAAGACAGUAGAGACAAUGGUACCAUGCUUCAAAAAUAUUUCUAACAAAAGAUAUAUACAUAAUUGAUCGUUAAUAUAAACUCUCAGUUAUGUAUGGCAUGCAACAUCAUUUAAUUACUUGUAUCUAGCUAUUCAAUUGCAUAGCCGAAUGAUCAACAAGGCAGAAUCAAGCUCUUGUGGGAUUCUUGUGACAAAACAUUAUGCUUUUUCCUUUUAAGAAGAUCAAAAAACAUAGAAUACUUAGUAUAACCUGUGGAUUGUUAGUUUCUAAUUUCAUUGCAUUAAACCAUCUGUUAUUACAGCAACACCUACUUCGUGUAGUCUAGUCCUGCAAUGAAGUUACUCUCGAAUUUAAAUUAGCUUCAGUCAUUAAAAUCUACACACAUGAACUAAAUGAAAAUUGAAAAGAAGAGAUAAGAAAACAAAUUGUUUAUGAGCGAAUACAAAUGUAUAACUGUAUAAUAGUAUAUAGGAAACUCAUUAACCUCAUAAGAAAUAAAACUAGCUGAUUAGUUAUUGAUUCGACAUUUUAUUGCAGUAGAAAGUCGAUGUGUAUCAGUCAAUUGACUUUGUUAAAUAAGUAUUAUUUAUAAAUCAUAAUAUUCAUAAAUUCAAUUUAGGAUAUGUAACAUGUUCUCAUCUCGAUUGACAUCAUAGGUUUAUAACUAAAAGAGGCUAAGCACUAGAGAGAACAACUAAUCUCAUAUCAAAAUUUGUCGACCACUUAAUUAAAUAGUAAUUAAAUAAUUUCCAAAUGUAUUUUCUAGAAUAUUAAGAAAUAAACAUUGAAUAACACGUGCAUAUGUGGCUGAGAACAAAUAUGAGUAAAUGUGGUAGAAGGGUUAAACAGUUUGUGAAAAAAGCCACAUGUAUUGUUGAUUAAAGAGACUAUAUAAUAAAUAGGAGGUGAUGAGCUGUGUUCAUCAGUUGAAUUAAAUCAAAAUCAUGGCGGUGUCCAAUAAGUUGGCAUUGUAUGGCUACUGAUCUUAGCAAUUCCUGCAUUAUUACUUGAGGCGUAAAACUAAUAAAAAAAAGUUUAUGCCUUAAUUAAAAUAAAAUUUAUUCUCAAAAUAUCUUUUGAAGAAGACAGUCGUUCCAUGUUUUUCAAAGCAUAUUGAACUUAAAAGUUAAUGAUGGGUGUUAUUUAACAAAUUAGCCAAUGAAAAUUUCCUAAUAGUUUUGUAACAUAACAUUUAUUUUAUUUUGAAUAUAACGUGAUGUUUAUUUAAAAUAAAAGUAACUUUUUAAUUUAUAAAUUAAUUUUGAUAACAAUCCAAUAGGAUUUAGACCCGAAUUAGCUUUUAAGCUAUAGCCACUAUGACGAAAAAAUUAUAACUAUAAAAUAAAAGUUGAUAGCAUGUGGGAAGUAUAAAAGUUGAUAGCAUGUGGAGUAGCCAAUAUGUAUAUAUUUUGAUUUCAUCUAACGUGACUAAAUAAACUCAAUAUGUAUAUAUAUAUAUGUAUUUACCAGUUCUCAUGAUGAUUACAUCACUGAAGAUAUCUUUUAUGGUAACACUUCACUUCUUGUGGCUAAUUCUUGGUCUAUAAAGAAUCAUGUCCAACUCCUCUUUAGAAUCUUUCUCUCAAACUCCAUUCAAUUUUAGUACGGAUACAUGUCUUCUUAUCUAUAUUUGGUUUCAUCUAACGUGAUUAAAUAUAUUCAUAAAUAAUGAUUUUGCUAAAAAAUCUAUAGAGUCUCCUGUGUAUUUAUACAUGAAAUCCACAAAUCUAUAAAAUAAGAAUUUUCAAAAUAAUUCAAUAUUCAACCAACUUCAUUGAUUAACCUCCUCAAUUAAAAUACCACACAUCAUAGUAAAUAAUAUACAUAAAGGGGUAAUGGGCUUGGCUUUAUUAAUACUACUUUAGGUUUUUUAAUUUGACCCCUCAAAUUUUCUCACUAACCCCUAUUUUUUAAUUUAUCUUAUUAUUUUUCAAAACUGCUCUUAUUUAAAAUAAAAAAUAUUAUUUUUUAUCUUCUUUUAUUCUCCCUCCCCCCACCCCACCCCUUCUCUCCAAAAAAGAACCAUUACCAUACCACCUAUCUUCAUCAAUAACAAGUUCAUCAUUAUCUAUCUUCUCCACUAUCAAGCCGUCAAUGGAUUCACUAGUAGAAAAAAAGGCUUCACUUAUACUAGCCUACUGACACUAUAUUAAAAGUAUCAGCAUUUGAUGACCUAAGCUAUUUUUAGUGGUUUUAACAAAUAAGUGUAAGCGGGUAUUGACACUAUAGUAUCAUAACCCUUCAUUGAUACUUAGAAGUGUAAUUUUAGUUUUAGUUUUAUUUUUUUAUUUCCCUUAUUAUUAAACGACAUCGGCUUUUUGUCUUAAAAUUUGUUCACUAUAAAUUGACUACUUAACGAAAAAUUUUGUGUUUCAUCUUUCCUCCCUCGCGACGUUUGUUCCCUCAUCUCUUACCAGAUCUUUUCCUCUCUUCAUCAAAACCAAACCCUAAUUAAACCAAAUAAAUUAAUCACUCUCUCUAUUAUGCUAGAGUAAAUGAAACAAAAAUAGGCACUAGAGAUUAAAGAUGAAAGACAAGAAUAUCUAAAAAAAUCCUAACAUAUUAAAGAUUGAGAAGAAUAUUGUAAUAGAAGAUCAAAUAUCAAAGUUGUUGAGGUAAUCAUCGUAAUUUUUUAAUUUCCUUUUCAGAUUCGUAUAUUAAACUUUGAACUUCAAUUUUUCCAGUGUUGUCCUGGCUUGAAGAAAAGAAAUUUUCAAUUGAAAAUAAACUAUCUGAACACUUCAAAAAAUUUGGUCAUUCCCUUUAAUUUAUUUUUCGCCAAAAAUUCCCUUUCUGUCGUUCUUUCUCUCAUAGUCGAAACCAAAACUCAAAUCCCCAACNNNNNNNNNNNNNNNNNNNNNNNNNNNNNNNNNNNNNNNNNNNNNNNNNNNNNNNNNNNNNNNNNNNNNNNNNNNNNNNNNNNNNNNNNNNNNNNNNNNNNNNNNNNNNNNNNNNNNNNNNNNNNNNNNNNNNNNNNNNNNNNNNNNNNNNNNNNNNNNNNNNNNNNNNNNNNNNNNNNNNNNNNNNNNNNNNNNNNNNNNNNNNNNNNNNNNNNNNNNNNNNNNNNNNNNNNNNNNNNNNNNNNNNNNNNNNNNNNNNNNNNNNNNNNNNNNNNNNNNNNNNNNNNNNNNNNNNNNNNNNNNNNNNNNNNNNNNNNNNNNNNNNNNNNGCCGGUUAGUAAUUUUUUUAAAAAAUAAUUAUAUGUAAUAUAUGUUUUGAUUCGCAUAUCGUAAACACGAUGUUAUUGUCUACUAACUGAUUAUAGCCUUCGAUUUAUAUUCACUUAAAUAGGAUAUGAUUAUGUUUUUUUUUUUUUUUUGCUAUUUGUUGAUUGUGUUAUUUAUAGUGUUGUUAUUGGUGGUUUAUAUGGUGAACAAUGCAGUAUUUUAAUUGAAACAAUUAAAGAUAUGGGGAAUUAUUAGGCAGAAAGUGGUUGCUAGAGGAAGUUUUCCUAUUGUAGUAUGCCUAUAUAGUAUUCAUUUUGCCUUUUUUUUUUUACUGCUGACUGUUGUUUUUUGUAAAUGCAUUUCUAAUCCAGAGACUUCGCCCCGUGGUAUCCACUUUGAGAAAAUACUCAUCUACAGCUAAACAAGUAAUUGUGUCUUUUAUAACCCAUUACUUGCAAUGCACUGAUUUUGGCUGUAUGAUGCUUGUAUUCUAUCUAUAUGUAUAGGCUUGCCUUCUAUAUAAGUAUUUUACUUUUUCUAAGUUUAUAAUAGUUUUUUCUUUUGAGAGAGUUAAUGAUAUGAGAAAUUACAAAUUUAAUAUUUAUUCAAGGUUGCAAUUUCAUGUUUAGGGCAUAUGUAUUACUUUCGUCUUAUAUGGUGGGUGAUUCUUGUCUUAAAAGUAAAUUCUAGUGCUUGAUUUUAAUAUAGUCCUAAAAUAAUUUAUGAGGUUUUUUGUGAACAUUGACGUUGUGAAACCUCAAAACAUAAAAUGCAGUAGAAUGUUCAUGUGCGCUUUGUUAAACAUGAUGUGCAACUCAUCUGAGAUUGUAAUCUAAUUAGUCAUAUGAUCUUGUGUUGAUGAGUUUAGCCCAUAAGUCUCAUAACCAUGAAAGUAAUUAAUGUCAAUUAUAAUAGAAGGACCUCUUUGUAAUCAACUUCAACCAUUGGCUAAUUAUGGAAUUCAUUGUGCUAGUGUUCAAUUUCACCAUUUACUUCUGAUCAUUAAAAAAAUUUCUUCACCUGCUUUUUCUUGCUUACAAUAAACAAAAAGGAUGAAAUGGCUUUUAUCUUGUUAUAAUUUUUGCAGCUCAAGUUUUGAACUUUUAUUUAUUUUGGUUGAUAGUUAGUAUUGAUUUGUGUUUGUGAUUGCUUUCUUUGUAGGGAAAGUUGGCAUCUGUUGAAGAGCUAGAACCAUUCGUCAAUCAUGCAUCUCAAAUGGCCGUACUUGACUACAUUGUAUAUGUUGAAAGUGAUGUGUUUAUUCCAUCAUACUCAAGAAACAUGGCAAGUGCAGUUGUAGGUCAUCUGAUGUUGAGGUAACUAACAUAACCACUUAAAUUUCGAAUGAGUUCUUUUUAUUCUUUUUUUGGAUUCCAUCUAUAGCUAUGAUUUGAGUAUGUAUCAAAGCCAUUAUGCUGAGUAUUGGAUAAUCAAGAAAAUAUAUUUGUAUAAUCUGGGCUGCCUUGUUUAUUGAAGACAUUUUUGUUUUUAGGCCAUGGUAGAAUGAGAUAACAAUAUCCUAUAAAGUCUUAAUUCUUUGCUUUUGUAUAUUUUAUCUGAUUGAACAAGACCUAAUAAGAUCAAACACAAAAAGAAAUAUUUUUGAAAAAUUGACCUUUGGUGAAUCUUCUUUAAAAAUUAUACUUAAUGUCGAUUAAGAAUAAAUAAUCUAAUGGACAGAAUAAAUUCAUAUAUUAUUCCAUGUUUGUGGUGUCUUAACAAAAUGCUUGUUGUCAAGCAUUGACUUUAAUGUGAAUGAUUCUAUGACUAUGCUUUAUGCUUAAAGUUGUUCUUUACUUUAGCAUCAAGAUUAGCUAAUGGAAUUUCGAUGUUGCACUAAUUAUUUAAAUCAUGUUCUAAAUUAUUUACAGUACAUCAAAAUUAAUAAGAAUUUUUAAGUUCAAUAGAAUUCUUUUCCGGCAAAAGAAAAAGAAAAAAAAGAAAGAAUUAAAUGAAGUACAAGUAUUGAUUCUUGUUGGCUGAAGUAAUAAUAUCACUAUGUUUAAAUUAUUUUUUCUUUUUUCUUUGGUUAUGCACAUAUAAUUUGAUAGCUGAUGAGUUCUUAGUCGAGCUAGCUAAAUAGGUUGCUUUUGUUGCUAGUCACAAUGAUGAAUCCAAACCCAUUUUGUUAGAUUUCACUCUCUUUUAAGAUUUUUUUUUUGAGAAAACCUUUUAGUUUUUAGUUAACAUAACAUUUUUUUUCUUUAAUAGGUUUUCAGGAUUGAGCAAGAUUACAGAAAUAAAUACAAGAUUGUAGUUGGUGAUGGUUGAUUCUUCGAGUAGUUUUUAUUGUAAACUCUUUAGUUUUUUGAGUUUGACACAAUGUUUUGGCUUUUAUUUUUCAAUGUUAAUGUAGUUCUACACAAUGUAAUGAGUUUUCAAAUUAUUCAAUGAGUAUUUUAAUUCAAGGACCAAUUGUCAAUUUCUGUUUCUGUUUUUUUAAUUUUUUUGAAUAAACAUUAUCACUAUGGUAUCGUUAUCUUUGUAAUACCCUUGUAUCAAUAUUUGUUUGAUACCAUAGUAUUGUUAUAUCUGUGAUGUCCUAGAAUCAAAAUUGUUUUGAUACUAUAGUGACAUAAAAUCACUGAUACUAUUUUCUAGUGUCACUGUGACACUGGCGUGGGCAAUGCUGACACUAAAACUCAGUGUCAGCGAAACAUAUAACUGACACUAAAAUAGUAUCAACGAAGGCCAUUUUUCUGGUAGUGAUUACCCCCACCAACAUAUGAUAAAUUUCAAUAUUAGGUUUUGUAAAAUUUGAUGAACAUCCAGUGGGGUUUAUUGUUAUUAAUUAUAUUGGUUUUGAUUUUUUGUGAUAACCUAAAAUUUUAUUUAAUUUCAAUUUGGAUAUGAUUAAAUGUUGAUAUUUGUUGAGAGUUUGAAAGAGGAUCUAGAAAUGAAAAAUAUCAAUCGAAAAUUGGAGACUGAUGAAAUAAAUUAAAGGAGUAAAAUAUCACCUCUCAUGUACAUACGUGAGUUGGGGUAUUAGAAUAUGAGCUCCUAAAUUGUCUUGGAUGAUAGUCAUGAGCGAUCCCAAAUGACUAGCUCGUAUUAAUUGUGCAUGCAAGUUGCAACUCUAAUUAAUUAGUUUAAUUCUGAGAGAAACAAUGCAAAAAUGAAAAAAUAUCUUAAGGCUAUGUUAUUAUUUUCAUUUAUUAUUUAACAAUAAACAUUGCACUUAGUAUAUAUUACAUUAUUAAUACCAAAGCCUUAUUAUUUCUUGCCAAAUUAUUAAUCAAGUAAUUAAUUAAGCAUGCAUGCUGCCACCAUCUCACAUGGAGCUUGACCUUCUUGACUUCUAAGGGGUCGGGGAUGGUCGCAGCUGCCACUGUCGAAUUCUAUGCUAGUUUUCAGCCACCUCUUUCAAUCUUUGAUAACCAUCGGCAUCGAGCCCGAUGCUACGCUCAGCGUUAAAGUGAGUUGUAAUGCAAGAAUUGCUAAGAUCGGUAGCCAUAUAAUGCGAAUUUAUUGGACACAGCCAUGAUUUGAUUUAAUUCAACUGCUGAACACAACUCGUCAACCCCUAUUUAUAUAUCCUUUUUAACCAAGAGUACAUGUGGCUUCUCAUAAGGACUGUUUAACCAGUUACCACAUAUGCUCAUUUAUCUAUUUGUUCUCUGCCACACAUUCAUUCAUGUGUUAUUCAAUACUUACCUCACAAGCUUCUAGAAAGUACAUUUGCAAAUUAUGGAACUAUUAUUUAGUUGAGUGGUAGAAGCUUUUUUAUAUGUGAGAGGAUUUCUCUCUCUCUCUCUCUAGCUGACUGCCUCUUUUAGUUAUAAAACUUAUAAUGUCGAUCGUGAUUAGAGUAUAUUAUAUAUCUUAAAUUAAAUUUAUGAGUAUUAUGAAGUAUAAAAACUACUUUUUUAAUAAAGUUGAUUGAAUGAUACGCGUUGAUUUUCUAUCACGUACGAUAAAUUGACCAAACAAUAAUUGAUUUGGUAGAUGCUUCAACGGCUAAUAUUUUCCUCUUCAAAACUAAAAUUUCAUUUCUCAUUGAUGUUAAUGAGUUUCCGAUAUAUUGUUACACGAUUAUACAUUUAUAUUUGCUUUUCUUGUCUCAGCUUUGAAUUUUCAUUUAGUUCAUGUAUAUGGAUUUUGAAGAAUGAAGCUAAUUUAAAAUUAAGAGCAACUUCAUUGCAGGGCUAGACCAUAGAAGUAUGUGUUUGUUGCAAUAACAGAUGGUUUAAUGCUUAUGAAAUUAGAACAGACAUUCCACAAAGUAUUCUAUAUUUUGUCAUCAUAUUAAGAGAAAAAAGCAAUAAUAUUCUGUCACAAGACUGCCACAGAAGCUUUGAUUGUUCUGCCUUUUUGAUCAUCCAGCUAUGCAGUUGAAUAGCUAAGUACAAGUGCUUAAAUAAUUAAAUGAUGUUGCAUGCUAUAGACAACUGAAAGUUUAUAUAAAAGAUCAAUGAUAUAUAUCUCUCUGGCGAGAAAUAUUUUUUAAGCAUAUAUAGGACGGCUGUCUCCAUUAUUUAUUUCAUUUACUUAAGGCCUUAGUAUACAUAGAUCAAAAUGCUCAACAGUUGUAGGUACAAGUGCACUCUUGGGGGUAAAUAUAGUGUCCGAUGAAAAUCACGAUGCCCUUCUCUAUUGUACCUAUUUUGGCAGUCGUCUCUGCAUUUAUCAUCCCCGUUGCAUGGCCAAGUUUGCACACAACAUUUAGGUUUACGCUUUGGUUUUGCCGCACGCACCAUGCUUUUAUCUUAUGUACAUGCACAAUAUAUUAGCUAUUAAACACGUCUUUUGAAAAUUUUCACUUUAAUUAUAUACUUAAAAACUAAUUAAUGAAAAUGUAUCAUUUUUAAAAUGAAUAAAGAGAUAUACCAGCUGAGACUAGGAGAAUGAGAGCAAGCAACAAGCAAACAGCAGUGAACUUUGUCGUCUUUUGAAAAUAUUAAUAGAAUUUUUUUUAUAGAGCUCUAAAAUAUUUUUGAAUGUAUAUAUUAAGAGUAGUGAUAUAACCACAAACUCUUGUACAAAUUUAUUUUGUACAAACUGAUGUGGCAUAAUAAGAUUGGUUGAAUUAAAUAUCACUUGGGCCACAUGAUUUAUUUUUAUUAUUUUAUAUUUUCAUUCAACCAAUGAAUUAAUGUCACGUCAGUUUGUACAAAAUAAAUUUGUACAAGAGUUUGUGGUUGUAUAAUUACUCAUAUAUUAAUAGAUUUGAAUGAAUAUCUAUCAUAGAACAAGGAGAUGCAUUUAUAGGGGAUGAUAGGAUUCGGACACUAAUUUACCAUCUUCUAAAGCAAGAUUGUAAAUCUAGGAUUGGGAGUAAUNNNNNNNNNNNNNNNNNNNNNNNNNNNNNNNNNNNNNNNNNNNNNNNNNNNNNNNNNNNNNNNNNNNNNNNNNNNNNNNNNNNNNNNNNNNNNNNNNNNNNNNNNNNNNNNNNNNNNNNNNNNNNNNNNNNNNNNNNNNNNNNNNNNNNNNNNNNNNNNNNNNNNNNNNNNNNNNNNNNNNNNNNNNNNNNNNNNNNNNNNNNNNNNNNNNNNNNNNNNNNNNNNNNNNNNNNNNNNNNNNNNNNNNNNNNNNNNNNNNNNNNNNNNNNNNNNNNNNNNNNNNNNNNNNNNNNNNNNNNNNNNNNNNNNNNNNNNNNNNNNNNNNNNNNNNNNNNNNNNNNNNNNNNNNNNNNNNNNNNNNNNNNNNNNNNNNNNNNNNNNNNNNNNNNNNNNNNNNNNNNNNNNNNNNNNNNNNNNNNNNNNNNNNNNNNNNNNNNNNNNNNNNNNNNNNNNNNNNNNNNNNNNNNNNNNNNNNNNNNNNNNNNNNNNNNNNNNNNNNNNNNNNNNNNNNNNNNNNNNNNNNNNNNNNNNNNNNNNNNNNNNNNNNNNNNNNNNNNNNNNNNNNNNNNNNNNNNNNNNNNNNNNNNNNNNNNNNNNNNNNNNNNNNNNNNNNNNNNNNNNNNNNNNNNNNNNNNNNNNNNNNNNNNNNNNNNNNNNNNNNNNNNNNNNNNNNNNNNNNNNNNNNNNNNNNNNNNNNNNNNNNNNNNNNNNNNNNNNNNNNNNNNNNNNNNNNNNNNNNNNNNNNNNNNNNNNNNNNNNNNNNNNNNNNNNNNNNNNNNNNNNNNNNNNNNNNNNNNNNNNNNNNNNNNNNNNNNNNNNNNNNNNNNNNNNNNNNNNNNNNNNNNNNNNNNNNNNNNNNNNNNNNNNNNNNNNNNNNNNNNNNNNNNNNNNNNNNNNNNNNNNNNNNNNNNNNNNNNNNNNNNNNNNNNNNNNNNNNNNNNNNNNNNNNNNNNNNNNNNNNNNNNNNNNNNNNNNNNNNNNNNNNNNNNNNNNNNNNNNNNNNNNNNNNNNNNNNNNNNNNNNNNNNNNNNNNNNNNNNNNNNNNNNNNNNNNNNNNNNNNNNNNNNNNNNNNNNNNNNNNNNNNNNNNNNNNNNNNNNNNNNNNNNNNNNNNNNNNNNNNNNNNNNNNNNNNNNNNNNNNNNNNACAUAGAGCAAAAAGUUUCUGGACAAAAUCAGAAUUUUAAUUAUUAGGAGUUUUUUGUAUUAAUAACUCACGUAUUCAUUGAAAUUCAAAUUUAGGACCUAAGCCCCAAGAAAGCUGCUCCAUACCACUAGAGCUAGACCUUGGCUUCAAGUCAUUAGGAAUUUUACAUUCAUUACUUUGUUACAUUAUCAUUAUUAAUAAUGCUAUCCGAUAGGAUAUAUUCUGUAUUUACCAUAUACUAAAAAUAGUAAAUUAAAAAUUCAGAUACAUAAAAUUUAAUGUGCUCUAUAUUUCCAAAAUUUAUCACUCAUAAUUAUUAAUGAGACAACUCUCUUUAAUUAUACUCAUACCUAACCUUUUGAUUUACUAACCAAAAUUAAGAAACUACGAUAACGCCAAUUCAUUAAAAUGUUCCCAUUCCAAGAUUAUUUGCCCUUCGGUUUUAGAAGAAAAUGAAUCAAUGCUUGAAUUAUAUCGUCAAGCUACAUAUAUGAGUGCAUGCUCUUGAGCAAUAGUAACAAAUCAAUCAAAAUCAGUUUCCUCAUCAAAAGACCCAUUGAAGAACAUAUAAAUGGCAAAGUUGAUCGCUUUUUGCUUCUUUCCUGCACUCAUUCUCCUUGCACCUGGUGUACCUUUCGUUAAUUUUUUUUUUUAAAAAAAAAAAACCUUUACAAAAUGGGUUCAAAACUAAUUUCAAGUAUACAAAUGAAAAUUUUCACAAGAUGCAUCAUGCAUGGCUAAUAGCUAACAUAUAUGUUGUGUUCAUGAAAACAGAUGAAAUUAAGCGUGAGGCAUGUUGCAGAAGCAAAGGAUAUAAUUAAAAUUUGCGAAAAAAUUUGGCCCUGCAAAGGGGAUAUUCAGUGCAGAGACGACUGCCAAAAAUUGUACUAGGGAGACGGGUGGUGUGAUUUUCAUAAGGUGCCAUAAUUCCUCAAAAUUGCAAUUGUACAUAUAAUUGUUGAUUUCAAAUUUCUCUGGCUAUAUGUACUUGAGUCUUGAAAUUAAUUUAAAGAAAAAAAAGUUCAUACCCUGAACAAUAUGAUACAUAUUAAAGAAAGAUGCACAUUAACGAUACUUCAACCACUAAAACACUAUUAAAGACCUAAUUAAGUGGUUUUCAAACAAUUUUAUUUGAUUGAUUAUAACUCGAGUUUGAAUUUUGAGAGAAGUAAGAGGUUUAAAAAUUAGUUUGGACUUUAUCCAAACUUUAUAAUAAUUAAAAGAAGACCUAAUCACUUGAGGAUUCUCAGCAGCAACACCAAAAAUGAUUCUCUUCAAGCCCCUUUUUCUUUUCAAAACAUGGAAGGAGUGUCGUCCCAAAAUAAUAAGGAUCUCAUUUAAAUGAAUUCACAUAUAAUCAUUUUUCCAAAAGCUUAGUCGUUCUAUGCUUUUCAAAUUCAGCAGUAUGCCCCCUAAAUAGUCUUACAUGUAUCGUCAUGAGCGUUCACAGACGACUAGCUAGUAUUAAUUGCGCAUGCACGUUGCAACUUCUUAGUAUAAUUUUGAGAGAGACAGUGCAAAAAGACAGAAAUAUCUUAAGGCUAUAUUAUUCUUUCUGCUAAUUUUUAAUAAUAAACGUUAAUCACUUAAUAUUAGAUAUCAAUACCAAAGCCAUGCUAUUGCUUGCUAGAUUAUUAAACAAGUAAUUAUUAUUAAGCAUGCAUGGUACCACCAUCACACAUGGAGCUUGACCUUGCUGAUUUUCAAGGGGACAGGGGCGGUGGCCGCCGCCGCAACUGCCGAAUUUUAUGCUGGUUUUGAAUCGACUCCUUCAACCGUUUGUAAUCGACCCAGCCGAUCUUGUGCUCAGCUUUAAGAGUAACUAGUAAUGCAAGAAUUGCUAAGAUCAUUAGCCAUAUUGCGAACUUAUUGUACAACGCCAUGAUUUUGAUUUAAUUUAACUGAACACAACUCAUUAACUCCUACUUAUAGUCAUUUUAACCAACAUUACAUGUGAUUUUUUUCACCAAACUGUUUAACCGUUCUACCACAUCCACUCAUUUGUCCAUUCGUUCUCAUCCACGAGUGUUGUUCGAUAUUCAUCUCACAUGCAUCUAGAAUGUACAUUAAUACUUAACAUAAUUGUAAUAAAAUUACUAAUUGCUCUUUAGUUAAAUGGAAGAUAAUUAUUCUUGAGUUUAAGGGUUGGAGUCUUCGAACGUAUGUACGAGAGAGAGUAUUUGUCUCUGGCUCUCUUUUUUAACUAUAAUCCACCCCUAGUCCUUCAUCUCCUCCAAUUAAAAUUUUCUUUCUCAUAACACCAAUGAGUUUUCGAUCCACUGUUACACGAAUAUGCAUUUGUAUUAAUUCCCUCAUAAACAAUUUGCUUUCUUGUCUUUUCUCUAGAAUUUUUCAUUUAUUUCUUGUAUAUGGAGUUUGAAGAGUGAAGCUGACUAAAUUACUACUAGUAAUAUGCCAAAUUUUUUUAAAAAAUUACUUUCUGUUGGUACUCAAAUACUUUUCCUUAAUUGAACGAGGAUAAUUUUGACUUUAUGUAAUUUUUGCGAGAAUAUAAACAAACUUAUAUUUAACCAUAAAAUUAAUUCUCAAAUUUAUUUUUAGAAAAUAUUUACUCAAUAGUUGCAUGUUUUUCAAAACAUAUACGUCGAACUGGAAUAUUAAUUAUGGAUAUUAAUUAACAAAAAGUUCCUAAUAAUUUUGUAAUAUAACAUUUAUAUUUAAGGCAAAAUAACAAGAGUAAGUUUAUUUUAAUAUUGAAGCAUAAAUUGUGCUUUUAUUAUAAUUUGAAUUUUGAAGCCUCAAGCCCACAUAGCCGGGGAAAUUGGAGAUCAACAUAAGUAUGUACAAGUGCAGUUUUGAGGAAUGUAUGGCACUUUAUGGAAAUCACACCAUCCAUCUCCAUCGUACAAUCUUUGGCAGUCGUCUCUGCACUGGAUAUCUGUUUUGCAGGGCCAAAUUUUUUCGCAAAUUUUAGCGUCGUCGCGUUUUGCUUCCGCUGCUUCAUGCAUCAUGUUUUCUUCAAGUGAAAAUUUUCAUGUAUUUUGUUAUAUACUUGAAACUAAAUUUGAACCCAUUUUUAUAAAGGUUUUUUUUAAUAAAAAAAAAAAAAGAGAAAAUAGAGAAAGACUAACCUGCAGAUCCAAGGAGAAUGAGUGCAAGGAAGAAGCUAAUAGCGAUCAUCAACUUUGCCAUCCUUUGAAAGAUUAAUUAACUUGUUUAUCAAAAGGGCUUUUGGGAAACUGGCUUUUGAUUGAUUUGUUAUUGCGUGAGAAUAUGUACUUAUAUAUAUAACAAGAUAUAAUUUAAGCAUUAAUUCAAUUUCACCUAAAACAGUAAGGCAGUAAUGGUAUGGGAAUAUUUUGAAAGAACUAGUUGUCGUGUUCCUUAAUUUGGUUUUGGAUAUUAUCAUUUUACCAUUAAAAUUAUUCUGACAUAUCAUAUCCGUACUACAGUUUGGUGAACAUAGCAUUUUAGCACCAAACGUUUGCGCUGUUAUCAAUUUACCACUAUUCCGUUAGAAAAACGUUAAUUUUUAACAGGAAAUUAGUUAAAAGUUGAUUUUACCCCCAAGAGAAUAAAAGAUAAUUUUACACUUUGAAAAGAAAGAAAUAAUGAACAAAAAUAAGAUUUAGAAAACAACUAAAAAUUGUAAUUAAUAAAAAAUAAUGAAUAAUAUGUAGAAUUACGAUAAACGGCAAAGAACAAUUAAUAAAAAUUUAUGUUUCAAAAUUAAUAUUAUAACCUAUGAAAUUCAAGUUUAAUCACAACUAAAAAUAAUAACAAUUUAUAAUAACAAUAACAAUUAAUAAGAUUUAGAAAACAAUUGAAAUUUCUAAUUAAUAAAAAUAAUGAAGAAUAUGCAAAAUUAUGACAAAUAACAAAAAAAUAAAUAAAUUCUGCUUCAAAAUUAAUAUUAUAAUCUAUGAAAUUCAAGUAUUAAUCACAACUAAAAACAAUAACAAUUUAAUUAAAGGAAAAAAAUUAAUGAGAGAGAGGAGCCAAUUUUAGGGUUAUCAAUUUCUUAAUUCUCUAAUUAUUUCUCUUGAAUUUUUUUUACUUUGUUUUAUUGUUUAUUUUACACUUGCAAUAGAGUUUUUGGCUUCAAUAGGAAAUGUCUUUGAUACCCUUAUGACAUCAGCAAAACAUCAGCAAUUUUUUUACUUUUUUAACGGAAUGGUGGUAAAUUGAUAACAGCUCAAACGUUUGGUGCUAAAAUACCAUGUUCACCAAACCGUGAUACUGACAUGAUAUGUCAGAAUAACUUUAGUGGUAAAAUGAUAAUAUCUCAUUUGGUUAAUUGGUAAGUAAAAAGUUAAGUAUGAGUAUGAUUCGAGUUGUCGUAAUAAAUUAGUUUUGGAUAGGGUAUGCCAACUUGAAAAGAUAAGCGAAUGUUUCAGAGCUGAGUUGUAGUGUCUAUUUGGGGGAAAAAAAAAGACCAUGUUUCGCUAUUUGAGAUAACUCACUAUGGACCAGGGGUGAUGGAGAUUCACAAUGCACUCUCCUUAUUCAAGCUGUUUACGUGGCUAAACACUGAUUCAAUUGGAUCACCAAAACACUGAUUCAAUUGGAUCACCAAUUGACUCGUAAAUGGUCUUGCAUGUGUUGGCAUUAGAUGAUUUCAUAAUCUCCUUUAAUUUUUCAAAAGGGUAGAAAUUGACGCAAAUAAACUUUUUAGUCCCUAUCUAUUUGACUGUUCAGACUAGGGUGAUCAACCACAGUGGUGGACCUGCAGCAAGGCUAGACCGGGCUGUAGCCCGGUCAAACUUAGGAAAAAAUCAUUUAUACCCUUAUUUUACUAUCAAUUAUAGCAUAUAAUAGAGAUUUUAUUUUUUUUUCAUGUAUGUCCCUAAUAUAAUUAUCCUUGUAUUUUCAUUAAUUUUAUACUAUAAUAGAGUUUUUAUUUUAUUUUUAAAUAUGUCCUUAAUUCAAUUAUAUUUUUUUCCAAUUGAAAUUAGUGACUUAUUUUAUAAAAUGAGUAAAUUAUAUAUUUACUAUAUAGAUAAAAAACAUUAGGGGGUAAAAUGUUAUUACUUUAAUUUAUUUUUAAAAAAAAAUUAAUUGAAAAAAAGUAUGUCAAUCUAAUAUAAAAUUGUCACUAGUAUUAAACUACUUAAAAAAACAUGUAGUAACAAUUAUCAACAUUUUCAUAAACUUUUUAUGUAAAUUUUGAGAUUUUAUUUAUUAGUUAUAUUAACUAAGAUAAAAUUUGAAUAUUUUGAGGAGCUUUAAUUUGAUAGAAAAAGCAUCAACAAUUGAUUCUUUAAAGAGAGUCGGAGCGUUUGGCAAAGAAACAACAACACACAAAUAUAUUUUUGUUAGGUUGAAUUUAGUUUAUAAUUGAAACUUUUGACUAAUAAUAUUUUUAUAAUUUAAAAAGAGGAAUAAAUUUGAAUUGUUUAAUUUAUUGAAACCUGGUAAUUAAGUACUUGACUUCAAACAUUAAAGUUUUACUUCAAUUUUUAAUUGAUUGUAAUUACAUGUGUUCAUUUAUUUCAGCUUAAAAUCCUUAAUUAAUAUAUUAAUCCUUGUAUAAUUACAUUUUAUUAGAGUCAGAUUUAAUAAUUGUAAAAUAGUGCUUUAUUUUUUUAAUUGCUUUUGUUUUCUACUCUUUUUAUAUAACUAUUUUUGUUUAUAACUUAUAGCGAUAAGAUUUUUCGUGCCCCCCUUAUUUGAUGCAAUUUUUUCUACUUAUAAAUUUUUAUGCUUACUUUAAAAUAUAAAUUUUUUAAUUUAGCCUGGGGUAAUACAAAUUCUUGGGUCCGCCCCUGAUCAACCAAAUAAAUCUGUUUAAAAAUCACUCGAUCAAACACUCCUCAGGCAAUCAUUAACAACAGUCUUUCAUAUAUCUCCUAUGACAGUAGGCAUAAAGCUAACCCACACACUGUGUGAGUGUUGUUUCCAUUAUAUUCUCAAUUGAUUUUGAAAUUGCACGAUGUCCUGUUAUUAUCUUUAGGAGAAAUGAUACCGAUCACUCGAUCUUUUCAAUCAAUCUAUUAGUUGUAUAUUACCUGCCAGUAAAAAAAUAAAUAAAUCAAUACAUAAAAUACAGGAUUUGAAGCAAGCAUGCAAUAGAUGAUGGUUUCAUUGAUAAGAUUUUCAACUUGGAAACCAACUUUCAAAUGUAAAUUUCAAUAAAUGAAUUAAACCAUUUUGGACUUCCUGAGAACACUACUAAUGAAUUUGCAAAUAAACUCUUCUACUUCCUAAGAACACCAAUAAUGGAAUUUGGAGAAAGUUUGGAAAUGUGGGUUCUUAUCGUCUUGUUCUCAAGCUUGCCUGCACCAAAAAUCUUCAAUCUCAUUUAAUUUUAGCAUCUUCUGAUGAAAGUCCUUGUCUGGUGGUUCUUAUUUAGUUGUUCAAAUACUUCAUCUGGUGGUAAUAUAACCGUUUCUACGAAAAUAGAGCGUUUGACUGACGAUUGAUGCUAUAAAAUUUGAAAUAACAAAUGCAGUAACUGUAUUGCAUUUGUUACAUGCAGAACUUGCCACAUCAAUUCCCUCUCGGUUGAAAUUCUUAGGAUCAACCAAUGGUUUCUCUAAAUCCUCAGGCAUGAUUCAACGUUGAAAAUCUCAACCCGGCAUGAUUUUAAAAUCAAAAGCUUCUUGUGAGCAUUAUGCUUGAGUGCCAAUGGUAGCAUUAGGUGUUGGAAUUUUUUAUAAAAAUAAAAUAGUAUCUUAUUGUAAAGACAUGUCUAAAUAAAAGGUGUCUUAUUAUAAAGACAUGUCGAAUUAAUUGUCCCUUGUAGAAAAUGUAUUUUUUCAUUUAAAAAUAUAACUUUUCGUGGUGACAUUUCACUUGGAGAUGCAUCAUUUCAUGGUGACAUUUCAUUUGAAAUGGUGAUGGUUCAAUUUGGACCAUUGAUUAAAAUUAAAUCUUGAUCUAAUAGUCAUGAAUGAAGGAGUAUCAUGAAAAAUGACAACCCAAAUGAAGGAACACAAGUAUGUCUAUAAAUAGAGAUCAUGUUUAAGUCAUUUAGACAUGAAAAUAAUAAUCUCACGCCACUCUUUUCUCAACCUGCUUUUCUAAAACGAAUUUAAUCAUAAAACACUUAUUUUUGUACAUUAAAUGUGCAAUAUAUUGUUUUCUGCAAGAAUUUCUUUUGUUUCAAGACAAGCUUGCAACAUUCAAGAUUUUUUGAUUUGCUUUCGUCGAUGCACCCACACAACAAACAAAUAAGUGUUUGAUUGUAUCUUGGAGGCGUAUUUACUUAACCAAUGUGCAUCACUUAAUUGGUGGGGGCAAAUAACGUCUUAAGGAAAAUGACAUUUGUAACGUGUCUUGAAGUACACAUUAUUUUUCUACGGUUUAUCUAUUACCAUUAUUUUCUUCCUAAUACUGAGUUGUAAACACAUUAUUUUACACAAUAAAAUUUCACCAUUAUUAUCGUAGUUCUCUACAUUUACCAUUCAUAGUACAUACCACCAACAUUAGGCCUGAAUGGCAUGAUUUAAAAUCAAUAGUUUAUUAUUAUUUCCAAGGCAGCUGCUAAGUUACUUUAACUGGAACUAACAGCUCCUAAAUUCUUUGAGUGGCAACAAUUUGGAGAUACCAAAAAAUUAUCUUUUGGGUUGUUGUCGUGUUGCAUGUCACAAUACACCUAUGCUACGCAUUGCGUACCCAUUUAUUUAAUAAUUUAAGAUUAUUAUUUAUUUAGGAAAAAUGGUAAUAACAUAUCUAUAUUUUGAUAAAAUGAUUAUGGGAACUCUCUUAUUUUAGAAAUGAUCAUUAAAAAAAAAAAAUUGUGUGUCCCAGAAAAAUAUGUGAUCAUUUUCUUAAAUAUAAGAGAAUCUCCGUGACUAUUAGGGUUUCUUUGUUCUGUUAACAUUUAUUUAUGUUGAAUUAAUUCACUCCACUAUUAGUGUAGCAAAAAUUGAUUAUUCAACAUCUUAUUACUUUUAUUGCAAGAGGCUAAACCCAACUUGAUUUUCUCUUAUUUAGAUUAAUAAGUGUAGUACAUGGAUGUAUGGUUACCUAGCACUUGUAGGCACAAAAGCAUUGCAUUAGGAACGGCAAGUCCAGUGUACAAAUCACAAAGUCCCUUUUUCCGUUGUAACGAUUUUUACAGUCUUCCCAGCAAGGUUGUUCGCCUUUGCAGUUCCACGCCUUGUGGCAAUCUUUUGCUUCUGCCAUCGGCACCCACUUUUCAUCUAUAAGAUUUAAGAACGCCGUUAAAGCAGUGUAAAUGAUAAGAUAAUCAAGAGAGAGUCUUUCAUAGAAUAACAUAUUAUUUUAUGAUCUGAUGUACAGGAAAUCAAACCAAAAAAAAAAAAAAAGUCUCUUAAGGAGAAAUUUUAUUGAUUGAAAGAGGGUGACAAAACAACCAUUGGCAAAGACUGGGAUAACUAAAAUAACCCAAGAUUACACAAGUCAUAUCCUCUUGGGAGAUUAGGAUUUUUUCCCACAAUAAAGUAAUGGAAACCAAAAUAAAGAAAAGGCCGUUAAAAGUUUCUUCUAAAAGAUAAAAAUCACCAGAGUUUUUCUAAAACAAAAUUGAGUCCAGAAGUGAAUUUUAUUUAUCUUGAUGCAGGCUUGAAAACAACACAUCAUGCUAGAUGCAAGCUUUGAAACAACACCUCAUAGGCAUGCACAUUCAUAUAUCUAAGAUGGAAAGUUUAGCCUCUGAAAAUAAGAUUCAGAAUUAUUUUACCAGCAGUGAAGAGAAAGAGGACAAGAAAGAAGGAUAUGACAUAACUGAGGUCUCGCUCUGUUUAUAGCGAGUAACAGUAACUAUUAUUAUUUAUUUGAAAAGAAGAGAAUUUGUAAGUCUAUGUCAUUGUACUGACGCAAGAGUGUUCACCUCAUUCUCUUUAACACCGGCCAUAAUUGAGCAGAUAAUAAAAAUAUAUUCAGUUGGAGACUAAGAAAAAUGUGUAUCACACUAACGUGGUCAAGAGUUAGAAAAAUGUGUACCCCGCUAGCCUAUCUGAUCAAGUGUGUUAGAUUUGGAAAUUUUUAAACAAUCUUGUAAAGAAAUCUUGGGUGUAUAUGUUUGCAAAAUUUUUAAAAAGUUGGAGUAUAAAUUCAAAAAAUCACAUGAAAAAUAUUUAUGUUUCUUAAAAAUGAUUACCAUUUUCAAAUAAUAACUGUUUCAUGGGUUCCAGCUAGUUUAGCUAGUAAAAUCUCUUCAAUGGAAACGAAAUGCCUCAGGGUUUGAACCUUGCUCACAUGGGUGGGGAGGGAAUUAAGUUGCCAUUAGGCUAUAACUUAAUUGAAAAAAAAUAAGAACUGUUUCCACUUCAUACCUGAAGUGCAUGGCUGCGGGUGUGAAGUCAACAAUGGUAUGCACAAAAGAACUGUUCCAUUUAGGUUGCAUAAAUUUUUUAGUCUUCAAUCUUCAACCUGGCAGGUCCAAAACCAUAAGCACCACUUGUUCAUCUGUUUGUCAAGCACAAUACUAAUUAGCUGUUAGCCAAUGCAGAGAAUUUUCUUGAUAAUUACACCAAAAUAAUAGAAGCAAUGAUAGAAAAUUAUACCAGAUAAAGGUUGAAAAGGUAUAAACAGUACAAAGCUUUGCGGUCUUUGAACUCUCAAGAGGGUUCUAAGCUGUUUACAGUUUUAAAAGGGUCUUCAAAGCAUCUUAGAUGAUUGCCAUUAACACUAACAGAACUGCACACUCAGCAUUAAUUGUCAUUAUGUGGGCUUUUUUAUUGCUGGGUUACCAGUACUCCAAGCAGGAACAAGAACCAUCUUCAAAAUGGUGAUAAUGUUUUCGAUCUCGAAUAGAUAUUUUCCUUUUGAAAACUUUCGAAACAAGCUUCAUGGCUGAAUGGCAAUCACUGCAGAUUCGAAUAUUCUUCACAAUCCUUAUUACAGAUCCAGGCUUGGUACAGAUUAAACCAAAAGCUAAUGCUAAUUUCUCACUAUGAUAUCCAAUCACAGUUUCCUUUUCCUCCUCUUCAAUGUCAAACAUAACUGAUCUUGUCUCUACAUUAUAGCCAUAAUUCUUUAUCUUUUUGACAAUUUCUUCCCAGAACUGGUAGAUCUCCUGUGUUUUUUCAUGGGAUCUAUCUCCUGCCAAGAAUUCAUGAACAACACCAUCCAAUUCAAUCAAGCUACAUCCAGGGGCCCGUUUUAUUUUUCUUUUUCUCAUAGUUUUCCUGACUUCUUCAGCAUUUUCUCCUUUCAGUGUUUCCACAUAAAUGUUCGAUAAUAAAAUAUAACGACCAUCAUGGUUUUGAUCAGAUUCUAUCAGCAUAUUCCCAAUUCUUUGACCCAUCUCAGCAUUUCUGUGUACCCUGCAAGCACCAAGGAGGGUACCCCAGAUGACAUUAUCAGGUUUCAUUGGCAUUGAAGCAAUGAAAUUUUCUGCCUCCUCCAACAAACCAGCACGGCCAAGAAGAUCAACCAUGCAAGCAUAGUGAUCCAACUCAGGUUUAAUUCCAUGAACAUCAAACAUUGAAUGAAAAUAGUAAAAUCCCUUCUCAACCCACCCCAAGUGACUGCAUGCAGAUAAAACUGCUAUGUAAGAGAUACUAUCAGGUGAGAUACCCUUACUUUUCAUGUUCUCAAAAAGCUGAAAUGCUUCAAUACUGUGUCCAUUCAUUGCCAGGCCAAAAAUUGCACUUGUAUAAGCUGAAACAUCCUUGUCCCCAUAUGAAUGAAACACCUGCAUUGCUAAAUCAAUGCUUCCACAUUUUGCAUACAUGUCUAUUAGAGCUGCACAUAGUAUUGAAUCUAAUUUUAUACAUUUCUUUUGAAUAUAAGAGUAAACCCAAUUCCCAUAAUCCAAAGCUCCUAAUUGUGCACACGCAGAAAGCAAACUCACCAAAAUAGCAGAGUUUGGUUCCAAAUCCAAUGAUUGCAUCUCUCUAAACAAAGCCAAAGCUUCCUUUGGCCGCCCAUUCUGAGCAAAACCCGAAAUCAACACGACCCAAGAAACCAAACUUCUCUUCGGCAUCUGAUUAAACACCCUACAAGCAUCAUCUACAGAACCAAACCUAACCAAGCCACCAAGAAUACUAUUCCAAGAAACAUCGUUCCGUUGAGGCAUUUUGUCAAACAGCUUAAGCCCUUCCAAAAUCUCACCAUUCCUCACAUGCCCAUUUAUCAUCGAAUUCCAAGACACAACAUCAAGAUCAUCACUCUCAUCAAAUACCCAUCUCGCAUCCCUCACUCUCCCGCAAACCGAGUAAAACUGUAUCAGAGAAUUUUUCACAAACACGUCAUACGCAAAUGAAUUUUUAACCACCAUCCCAUGCAACUGUGUGCCCAAAUCAAAAUGAGCACAACUAGCACAACCCUGAAACAAAAACGUAAACGUAAAGUUAUUUGGAGCUACAUUCAAGUCAAUCAAUCUGUAGAACAAGUGUAGUGACGUGGAGAGAUAGUGCGAGCGGGAAAGGCGGGAGAGGCCCCGAAUGACUGUGUUGAAGAGGAAGAUUUGAGCGGGUGUUGAGGAUUGAAAGAGGAGAAGAAGAGCGUAGUUUAUGUCACCAUGUGGAUUGAGAGACGCGAAUGAGAUGAUGGGUCUGAAUGAUUUUGGCGGGUGAUUUAGGGCUCUUAUUAUGAGCUGAGUGUGGGUUUGUUUGAAUUGUUGAAUGGCUUUGCAUUUGUAAAGUAGUGAUGUAAAUGCAAUGCUAGGGGGUACUGCCGCUGCUGCUGGCAUAGUGUGAGGAGUACUUGUGUCUUGUGUUUUCUUGCAUUGAGUAUCUUUACCUAUACCCUACGUUACCAAAUCAUGGAGUUGAGACAUUAACAUGACAGAGAGUAGGGUAUUAGAUCAUUUUAAACAGUCAUUUUGCAUUGCCACAAUAUCAGGUUAAAAUAUCGGAUGGUAUCUCACGCAGCUUUUAUAGCAGUAGAUAAUCAGAUUUUAUUGACUUCUGCUAAUUUUCUAACUAUUUGAUGAUGGUGAUGCCCAAACUGUGGGUUAUGGUGCCGCCCACAGCUCACGUGAGUCCAUACAUAACAUUUUUGCUAAGUUACAUUUAGUGUAACUAUUGCAACACGUAGGCUAAAUGGGAACCAACACUAAAGUAUGUGAUGAGAGAGACGUUAAGAACACUUUAAUUGAUUGUUUCCCUAUUAACUUCUAAUAUAAAAGAGAUUAUAUUAGAUGUGAAUGGACAUAUAUACUUAUUACGUGUCAAUAUAGUGAAUAGUGAAUACAAAUGUAAAUUAAAUUAUCUAGAAACAGAAGGUUAGUACAAUAUGAAUAGGGUUAUUAUCUUUUUACUAUUAUCAACAACACUUUCAAGGAGUGAUAUUUGUCGCAUUUAUAACAAAAAAAAUAUGAUUAAAAUGUUCAAAUAAAACCCCCCAUUGAAGGGAAAGAAAGGACAAAAUUGCAUAAAUUGUAAUCCCAAAUUGGACUUAUGCAUUCUAUUAUCGAUUUAUUUCAUCAAAAUCUAAUCAACAGCUUAAUGUAUAAAUACAAGCAGAAAUUGGAUUAAGCAACAAAUCUUUUGACCAUCUCCUCUCUCCUUAAAUGAAAAUAAAGAUUCCUUUGUGCAUGCAAACUCAUCCAUGAAGCAAAAGUAGGCAAAACACCCCCAUGCCAUCUCAUUUGAGACUGCACAUUUGUUUUGCCAUCUCAAAGCAUCUCUCAAAUUCAAGGCUGUUGUAGGGUUUCUUUUGUACUUUAUCUUCCUAAAUGUCAAUCUUUUCCACAACACCUACAUAGCAAAGAACGUGAACCAUAAGCUAAACAAAGAACAUAACAUUACUGUACAUAGCCAAGCAGUCAGACACCUAGACCUGGAAAAAGCAUGAACAAGAUAUAAGAUAUAAGAGAUCCCCAACCUAUCUGGUAGGAAUGGCCAAGGAUUAACAGAAUUAAGCAAUUUGAAUAUCAGAAUACGAUAAUCCAGCUAAAUAUUCAUAUGUUAUUUGUAUUAAAAAGCACCACAAUGAUGAUGACAUUUUGAAGCAAAAAGGACAAGAACAUCACUGAAAUCUUGACAAGGAUUUAUUGGAAAGCAGCAUAUAGCAUACAAAUUUAUGUAUCUCUAUAGGCAGUAAUAAAAACCAACGGUGAAUUAUAAUCUCAGUAGCCUAGGAAACAGCUUUUGUCUACAGAAUACAGGUGUGUUGCUCAAAAAUUGAAGCUGUAAAAUUACCGUUUGUAUCUCUUCUUGGAACCGCAAGGACAGAGGGCAUUUCUACUGAUCUGACCACUCUUAGCCAAAUUGGACCUGGCAAGAUCCAGUGGUGAUGAUCCCAUCAGCUUUUGAAUCUACAACAUUGAAAUCAUGGCUAAUGAUAUAUUCCCAAUAUUCUAUUCUCACAGAAAAUUUCAUUUAAAAUAACAAUAAAACGCCCCAGGACACUUGGAACACAUACAUGCCCAGAAAAAAACAUAUUUUUGAUGUAAACCUCCCAAGAACUAGUUAAUUCACAUUAGACAUUUUAGGUCAUUUUAAUCAUCCACAUAAAUCUAUCUUCAAAAACCCAUUUCAAAGAACCAAUAUUAGCAUUACAAGCGAUCACAAUGACUUGCAAGAUGUAUUACCUCAGCCAUGCUCUUCGGCAUUGGUUUUCCUUCCUCCUUUAACUUCUCUAUUUUCUUUUGUGCUUCUUUGGCCCAUGUAAACUUUGCAAGGGUAUUCUCGACUUCCGCUAUUGUGCAAUUGCAUUGCUUUGCGGCUUCUUGUUUUUGACUGACUUGGAGAUUCUACAAUCAGAAAAUCUAAAACCUUAAUCAGGACACAUACCCAGAUGCAAUAAAUGAAUGUGCGCAUAUCACAUGAUAAAAGAAAGAUCUACAAUGCAAGUAUUGAUACGAGAAUGUCAUAUUUUUGUAACAUGAACAUGAGGAACUCAUAAUACAGAUCAUCAAACUUGUAGCCUUGAACCAUACAAAAUUUACCCACAAAAACUGCAUGUAUGCACACAAAAAACCAACCUCUCCGUUAGGAUCAAAAGCACCAAGACAGCGAAGAACUGCCUCUUGUUUCUCAAAAGUAUCAGCAAAAGUUGUUGCACUGCUUCUACCAACUAUGUAUUGCUUUAAUGUACCCAACUUUCUUGCUUUCUUUAACUCAUCAGCAAACCCUGCAACAAUCAUUAAAAAAUAUACUAUAAGAAUAUCAAAAAUUGUCCAUUUUCUAGUACCAUUUAGAUAACUUUCAUAGAAUGCACUUUUGCCUUGGAAGCUUUCAGAAAAAUGCACUCAUCAGGUGCUUCUCCAAAGGCAUUAACUAGUACAUCUCUCAUUCAGAAGCCAUCUUAGAAUAAUACCUAUCAAGUUUUCCACCAAGAAUACUUUAAAUGCCAUAUAAUAGUCACGAAAUAGUUUGUCUUUCAGAAACACCUAUAGCAGUGUCAAAAGCACCAAUUAAGCACUUCAAAGAACUCUAAUGUCUAAAUGCUCUUCUAUCCUUAAGGAACUCUAAAGUCUAAAUGCUCUUCUAUCCCUAAAAUCAAUUUCGGCUAUUUCAUCCAAACAACCGUGCAAUAGUCACAAAAACGCUGUAUAGUAUUCAGAUUUAGCAGUGAUAAAAAGGCCUCACUCCUCAAAAGCACUUCUAGUGCACUUCUUAUUCAAAAAAGCAUUUUUACAAAAACACGUCUAACGUUUUUCACCAGAUACACCCUUGUCCAACUAUUAAAGGCUUCCGUUAACAUUGAAUCGAAAGAGAGAGAGAGAGAGAUUUAUACUGACGGGAACUUACGAAGGAGAGUGAAUGAUUCAGAGCUGACGCUGCCGUCCUCUGAUGAUGAUUUUUUUCCGGUGAAGACUCCUUUGAUCGAGUCCAUCCAUGAGCCUUGCAGUGUCCUCGUCGUAAAAAUCGAGCGGUACUGUGAUAAUGUUAGGUGAUGAUUAUGAUAAAUGCUGGUCAAUAUCCGUAAAGAACGCAUUUUUUGGGGAUGGGUAUGCAGACGGAGCUGAUUUUGAGGUUCUCAUAGGGUUUUGAUGGCUUUGAAAUUGCGAAAUUGAACGGUAAUUCCGACAUUGCUUUAAAUAAUAUAGAAUUGAAGCGAAGUCACAUUCAAGUCAGGAUGGCCGAGUGGUCUAAGGCGCCAGACUCAAGUUCUGGUCCUCGAAAGAGGGCGUGGGUUCAAAUCCCACUUCUGACAGGUCAUGUUUUUAGGUUUUUCCUAAUUUGAUUUCGAACAUAACAUAACCUAGAAAAGCAUAACUGAAAAUUAACCUAGAAAUGUAUUGAGCAUAACUGAAAAUUAAUACCAGAUAGAGACGAUAUUUACUUCUAUUCAUAUUCGACAAAAGGUCUACUUUUAUUUCAUAUUUUAUAGAAAAUUAGAGCAUAUUAGUUCUAUCGAGACUCAAAAUUAUUGAUGACUUGGGCCCAUUUUUGGGCUUUUUCCAUUUUCAUUCUAAUAAAUACAAUGCAACCAAGGCAAUCAAACCCAAAUGCACUAUCAAUUUCUAAUGGUUCAUUCUUGAAACACGUUCAAGCAUCUGCAAGACCAAGAGCACAGUCGUUCCUAUGAUUAAAGUUUCUUGUGAGAAAAGAAUUUCUACUAUGCCAACAAUUACAUCAUCAUUUGACAGUCACAAAUAACAUUGAGUUCACUGUAAUCAACCUUACAAUUCAGUACAGAAUACUAAAAUAUUCAAGUUGUAGGUGAUCAUUUCCAAUAAUAAAUUACAAAGAAUGUCUUCCUGCCCAGCACAAACUGAUGAUCCAUUGAGGCAAAAAUCUGUGGAAUCAUCAACUCUUCCUCACACAUCUGUCGACAAAUCCUAACUUCCAAAAAAAUCAAGGAAGCAGAAGCAACUCAACAGGCACAUAGAGGCUAUGCAUAUGCUGUAACUUCAUCUCUUGCUUCUGAGUUGCAAAGAAUUAUAACCAAAAAGCCCAUGCUAAAGACAUCUUAGGCUCCAGACCGCCUGAACUCAAACCAGAUCUCAUAGUGAUUGAAAAGCAAGCUAUCAUGCGUUUUCUUUCCAAUAUACUCGAGCCCCAAGCUUGUGAGCCUCUUCGUACACUCCUCUCCCCCCAAUCGUGAGCAAAACUUUAUGUUAUGCGACACAAAGAUACGUCCAUCAUAAGGUCUCAACUUACUUGCCAACCUCUCCAGUCCAACCCAGACAAGUUUGUCUGGCAUAUGAAGAAAAACAGCACUAGCAUAUAUCAAAUCAUACACAACUCCUGAACCAAACUUAGUAAAAUCCAUAUCUUCGCCUCGUACAAUGAUAGGGCGCUUGUGUAGAAGACCUUGGGAGGGAAGUUCAUAUCUGAAUGCAGCCAUCAAAGAGAGUUCAUCUCGCUCCAGGCAAUGAAAGUUUUCAGGGUUGAGAUACCGAAUGAAAUGCACGCCAACACGGAGUGUACCACAUCCGAUCUCAAGGACAUGCGAGUUGGGUGUUAUGUGGCUGGCCUCAGCAAGGAACUCAAACACAUCUCGGCCACCAGCCCAAGGCUCCCCAUAAUUGCUGUGAUGCUCCUCAACAAGAAGCUCACCGGGGCAUGGAAGGGCUGUAUGGUUGUUUGCUUCCAGUCCUUCAUAGUGUGAUAUGCCUUUGAAUCUGACACAAUUCCAGAAAUUUGAUCACAAUCAUGACAAAACCACCCUCUUUUUUAAUAAAACAUGUCAAAGUAACUCAUGAAGUGCACACACCAAAAAAGAACUCACAAACAUGCAAAUGGCAGAUUUCUCACAUUGUGAUCUCAUGUUUGAAAGUGCUGCACACAGCAAAAAGCCAAAUGCCACGAGAUUAUCAUAAGGAAACCUCACCUAGAAUUUUAGUUGACAUUAGUUAUGAAGCACACUUCAGUCAAUAUAUGUUACUGUAAAAAUCUAUAUACAGAGUGUAAAGUGAAAAAAAGAAACAUUUCAGCAACCCGUUUUACACGGUGUCCAAUCCCAGAAAUCACAAAAGAUAAAUAAUCUGAUUCACAUAUUCCACUUUUUCCUACUACCCUUAGAAACAAGCUUCCUAAGCACCCAUACCAGGCAUCGCGAAUGGGAAACCAGUUUCCAGAAAAUAAAAUGGCAGAUUUCUCACAUUGUGAUCUCAUGUUUGAAAGUUCUGCACACAGCAAAAAGCCAAAUGCCACGAGAUUAUCAUAAGGAAACCUCACCUAGAAUUUUAGUUGACAUUAGUUAUGAAGCACACUUCAGUCAAUAUAUGUUACUGUAAAAAUCUAUAUACAGAGUGUAAAGUGAAAGAAAGAAACAUUUCAGCAACCCGUUUUACACGGUGUCCAAUCCCAGAAAUCACAAAAGAUAAAUAAUCUGAUUCACAUAUUCCACUUUUUCCUACUACCCUUAGAAACAAGCUUCCUAAGCACCCAUACCAGGCAUCGCGAAUGGGAAACCAGUUUCCAGAAAAUAAAAUUAUCUUAAACUUGUUCCUUAUUCCUAGGACUCUUACUGAAAACUCUUUUCAAGAACUCCCCAGCAAAAAAUCCCAGAAUUUUAAAAACAAAGACACACUAUACAUGAAAAAAGCACAUUGAGCUUUAGAAAUAUUUUCCAUAUCAUCCCAUCAAAAGUGCAUGUUUAGCAAUUGACAAAGUGACUCGCUGAGACCCCAUUUGGAAUUGAAGUCUCAUGAGCUAUAGUAGAAUACAAUCACUAAAAUGUCAAGAAUGUAAAUGAAACAUCAGUUCUAACGUCUCAAAAUGUUCGUGCAAUUUUCCUACACUAAUUUCAAAAAGCUGUUUCUACUAGUGAAAUCAAAACAUGAAGGAAACUUAAGAGCGAGAGUAAGCAAAUGAAUGAGCUUACUGAAUGAGAUCUUGCAAUUGCUGAGCUCUAGUACGGGGAUUAAUCCCCUUCCUUAACACAUUGUCCUGCAUGUGAAGCCCGUUCUUGUGGAUCUGAUCCCUCACCCACUCAAUAUCCUCUUUCGUCGCCGAUGUUCUUUCGCUAAACGUUCUAGAAGAAGAAGAAGAAGAAUCAUCCUCGCUCCUUGCAAAGUCAGAAACGGCGCCGUUCCUGACAGCGUUGCCGGCGGCAGUGGUGGUGGAGGAGAGAGGACAAUUACACGUGGAGAGCGAGGAGAGGAGGAAGAAAAAGAAGAUCGCUGCGACUGAGAGCGAGAGAACGAGUACCGGUACGGUGAUUACUAUACCCUUUUGCUGCGUCGGUGAUGUUACCAGAGCCAUUCGAUUUCGUUUCGUUUGUUCGCUCGCAGAGUGCCGUGUGUGUGUGAAGAGGAAGAGUUGUCUUUACGGUUACUGGCCUGGCAAAAUGAUGGUGCUGGGUGGAUUUAGCUGUACGAGAUGGCCGACGUCGUUUCUCGCUUUGAUUAUUCGUUUUCUAAAGAAGACGGAUGUCGACAUGUCGUUGACGCCGAGAAUGUCGUUCUGAUGGAGAAGUAGUGGCCGCCUAGUGGGAGCAGGGGCAUAACUACAGUGCGGGUGAGUCCAAGGAAAUUACCAUAGGCGUCUCCAUGACUCCAUCCUUUUGAAUUGGAUUUGGAUCUUUAGCAUCCAAAAUAAAAAGCCAAGGCCCAACUUUGAAACAAGCAUUUGUGAUUUUACUAGUUUAGUCUCGUAGAGGUUGAUUUUUUUUUGCCAAAUAUUUGAAUGGUAUGGUAAAAUCUAACAUAUCUUGGGUCUAAAUAUUCAAAUAAAAAAUCCUAAUAAUUUUUUAUACUGUAAAUAUCAACAUAAUAAAAAGCAUAUGUAUUUAAUUUGUAAUGACUCUAAUCAGAGGAAUUGAAAUAUAACUUCCUUUUGCUUCAUCAUUACAAGCAUCAUUUGAACUACAACUUACACAAAUCAUGUUAAUGAAUAGUUAACACUCACAAUCAGACCUAGACAAACCAUUUUAUGCUGGGAACAUGUAAACGCACCAUAAAAUUUACAGAUCCCAGCAAAGCAAACCAUCACUCUUACUAUGUACGUUAUAUGACACAUGUCACCCUCUAUGAACUUGACCCGAUCAUAUCAAUAAACCAUGAACAAAAAAUCCCUCAUUGAAAGAAAAAAAGUGGUAGACAAAACAAAAUUAAUCUCACACAUUUCCCAUAUGCCACAAGUUAUCACUAGCAAAGUUCUUUUCUCUGUUAGACGAAAUCAGACAUCCUUCUCCUGUGACGAGAGAGUGUUACUUUCAAGUUUGGAUCUGAAUAUGUGACAACCUUGUUUCGUGGCAUGGAAGUUGUCUUUGAAUACAGGCCGACAUUGCCUUUAGGACUCUCUGUGACAGGAGUAUUGGUUUCACCGUAUCUUGGUUUUUUAUUCGAACAUCGUAUCAUUGCUUUGAAACGAAUAUCCAAGAAGCUAAGCGAUUGAGAACAUGAAAAUUGUGCUGAACUUCUAGACCCUGUUAUCAAACUCCUGGCCCUUAUGCUGAUCUCCUUCUCUGCUGCAUUUUUCCUUUGACGGCUAGCAACAGUAGAGGUCAUGAAACGAGGGACAGAGUUGCUAACACUUCUUUUAGUUACAUUUUUAGAUGCUUUUGGGGUUUCAGCUGCUUCCUUUAGAUUUUCUUUGGGACUUACAAAGCUCUUUUCCUCAUCCUCAAGGGACUGACAUGUGGCUGAGAACAACUUUUUCUUUUCACUUAGGAGGGACUCAACCUCCUUUAUUUGAUUCCUGACAUUCUGACAUUCAACUUCAGCUUCUCUCAUGUCCUCUUCGAGCUCUGCCAUUCUUAUCUCCCUUCGCUUCUUCAAGUCCUACAGUAGAGGAUGAAUAUCAGAAAGUAUUGCAAAUGUUUAAUCCAUGUCAUCCAGAAGAAGAAAUUCCAAAGAUUGAUACCUCUGAUAGCUCCCUCUUGGACUCUAUUCCCCUUGCUCGCUUGGCAAAACUCAAAGAACAAAUUGUCUCCCCAACAUCUUCUUCACAUGGGCUUGCAUGAACAAGCAUCAAAACCUUUGAACCAUCACCUAAAGCAAUUGGAAUGAGGGCCAUCAUGCAUUUUCAUAUAUUUGGUUUAAUUUUAUCACAGGAAAAAGAAUUAAUUCCAUAAUGUACAGUAGCCAUUAGUUUGUAAAUUACUCCUCACACUGCUAUGCAGAUACAAGUGGACAACAUCUAAUUUCUGGCAAUUUCUAAAACAUAACAAUAUUUCAUAAUAAAGUAGGAGUUCACAGCCAAAAGGAAAGGGGGAAAUUAAUUAAAAAAUAAUAACAAGCCAGAAGUACAAGAGCAAAGGUGUUACCGAGGGAAUCUCUGAGGAUCUGAGUUAGCUUGCUAUUUCUGCAACCCAAGAAAUAAAAUAUAAUCAGUAAGAAAGAAGCAACAGCUACUCAGAGCUAUCCUAACAGCAUUUAAAAACUUGGAAUCCAUGUCUUUUUCAGUUAAAGUAUAUGGGCCCACUCCUAGCUUAUCCAACAAAAGAAAAAGGAUAAUUAAAAGCUGAAAAUAGAAGCCAGCAAAGAACUUGCCUGUAAGGCACAUGGCCUCUCUUCCUUCUCAGAGCUGCAAUAACAUCAGCCAGUGCAGAAAGUGAGAGAUUUAUGGCCCUUCCCUCAUCUAGUGUUUGCCCAGUGGCUCCUGUUUUCAGUACCCGCUCGCUGCCUCCAAGAUCAACCAUCCAAAGUUUGCUUACUUCUGUUUUGGCUUCCAAGCCAUCCCCAUGUCGGAAAAUGGUGAUCCUCAUUAAGCUAGAUAUAUGAAACUAAACAGAUAAUGUAAUCAUCAAAACAAAUCAAUUCAUCAACAAAAUUCUAACCCAAACUCAACCAGAAACCCACCAGUGUGACCUGCUGGAUGCCUCAUUCACAUUAGUCCAUGAAGUUGAUCUAACCCGUCUCCCUUUAUUGUACCACCAUCGGGCCUUUGUAAAAUCUGGGAUUUGCACCUCUGUCAGGCCCUCGAUUUCCACUGUGCCCUUCGCAUCUGUUUGAAUGUUGAGAUUGCUGUAGUAGAGUGAGCAAAAUCACAAUAAGCAUAAUCGAGUGAAUGACCUUCAUUUUUAGUUCAAAGUUUUGGAACUGAUUCUGGGCAUUUGUAGAAACAUAAUUACCAUCUAGUCGCAGCAUCAUAUGCUUUAAAUACUGGUUUUGGAGCCAAUAGAUCCCUCACGCUACCCAAGUAAACCUCCAGCAUGCUCAUUGAAAAGCUUACAGAUGAUGAAUUGUCCAAAGUGGCUUGACGAAAAAGCUCUUCAAGAGCUCGAGGAACAAUUCCAGGCUGAUCACUAGUGCCAUCCUGAAACAUCAUCACACUCAAACAUUCAUGAAUGAAAAAAUCUGGGGAUUUUAACAAUAUGAAUUCGAGAAAAGCAACAAAUUUAAAUAUAGUCACUAACCAUUGUGAAUGUCUUGCCAGUGCCAGUUUGACCAUAAGCCAAAACACAAACAUUGUGCCCGUCAAGCGCAGAUCUAAGAAUUGGUUCAACCUCAACAAAAACAUCUUCUACAGAGUUUUCAACCAAAAUAAAGCCUCUUAGACAACUGGAAACAGAAAACAUAUUCAAUUAAACCUGGAAAUGAAGAAACACACGAAAUCAGAUGCUAACCUUGACUAGCUGCCUGAUUAAACACCUUAUCAAAUCCGAAUUCUUUCUUGCUUCCUCCUGAUCUAACCACAACCUUCUCCAACUCAGUAAGUACAGGUUCAUGAAUUACUCUUCUGCCUGUCACUAAAAAUGAUCUGACUCGACAAAAGACUCUAAUACAGCCUGCAAAUCAAAAUCAAUCCUUUAAUCAAAGGGCAAAGUAAAAAUAUAAAGUCCCUUCCUUAAAUCAAAAAUAAUAAACUACCUUUGAUGUCUAAUAUCUUAUUCAAUGCUUCUCGUCGUUUCUCAUCCAAUCUCCUCUUCUUCAACCUUAAUUCCACAAUUUCUCCUGCACAAAAAUGACACCAAUUUUUCACAAGAAGACAAUGAACACAUGUUGCUAUAAUUUUAUAAUUGAACACAUAUGACAAUUGACAUUUCCUAGGACUGAAACUUGAAAAAUCUUUUACCUUCAAGAUUGAUUAUUGACUGCUCAAGCUCAUUCUUUUGUUGCUCAGGAACAACAUUGACAUCGGUGCAAAUCAAAGGAAGCGGCGGUGAAUCAGGCAAAUCAGGAACCGGAGGCAACCCAUCACUGGAUUCAAGGGUUGAUUCCAUUGGAGAUGAUUUCAGUGGCUCUGGUCCUUUGUCAAGAACCAUUGAGAUCUGCUCAUUUUCAGUUGAAAUGAACAUACAGAGAAGCUAAUAAAAUUUUUGAAGUUUAAAAAAAAAAAUAACUUUUUUGAGCAAAAAUGCAAAUAUGCAACGUUGGUGGCUGAAAAUGAAUACUCCACCAAAAUUGGAAUGCGUUGUUAGCUAAGUUUGAUUGGUUUAACAGAACUCCAAAAAUAUACAAGAUUACAGAAACUAAUAAGUGCUGAGUUGGAUGUUCAUUGGUUUAAAUCAAUAACCACUACAUUUCUCAGCUAAGACUAAGAGAUGAAGUACAAAUGAAGCAAAAUCACCUCUUUGAAGAGUACACAAAAAAGCAGCAACUAGCAAGCGCUGGCUAAAUAUUCAAAAGCAAAAACCCAGAUCAUUAAACCAACCAAAAAAAAGAUAUUCAUUAAGAAAAGUUAAAAAUAAUAAGUCAAAAGCUGAGUGAAGAUUUUCAAAAACCCGACGAAAAUUUGGGAGUGGUGACAAUGAAAUGUUUCAAUGAUUGAACACUCUUUGCUCUCUGAUUAUUAGGGGGUGAAAAGUGCUUUUAUAACAGUAUAAUGUUCCAUACAUAUUGUGAAAAUACCCAUAAUGGAAUAUAUAUAUAUAUAGAAAUUCUCGUAUAAUGGUUGGUCCAGAUCUAAAGUUGCACUGUAAAGUUGGUAUUUUUUUAAGACAAGAGGAGCGUGAGGAGCGGAGGUGCAAACGUGGACUUAAAUAGUUUCAAAUAAGUGCUUUUAAUGGUGUAGGAUAAUUUUUAAUAUAUUUAUUUAUUUUAGAUUUUUGGAAUGCUUUGACUGAAAGUUAAUGGAACUUGGAUAGGAUCCUCUGCAGUCUAGCAGUAUGCAACAGAGAUUGGUGGGUGGUGAAAAAAUAAUAGGUUUUUUUGGUUGGUUUGUAAUAAAUAAAAGGUUACUUUUACGAUAAAAUUAAAUUUUUAAUAUCAUAUUACUAAUCUUUAAAUUACGUCAAAGCUAAGCAUGAUCAACAUUCAACAGUAUGGCUGGUAUAAUCCAAUUACUCAAUACAAACAUGACACAAAUUAAUGGGUAUGAGUCAUCAAACUUAACAUAAUUAUUAAAUGAGAUGGGUUCAGGUCGACAUAAUUUUUUUCGUAUUUGAUUAGAAUUAAAGUCCUUAACUCGUUUAUCUGGUUAAUAGCAUGAUUAUAUUUUUAUAUUCUAAAUGAAUUUAUAAAUUUCUUUUAUUAAAACUCAAAUAUUUGUAUGCAAUAAUGAACAUAAUAUAUGUCAAUUGAUUUCUCAUUGCUGAUCCUUAAUUUUACAACAUCAAAUGAGAUUAGUAAUUGAUUUUAAAGAUUUUUUUAAUAAAAUCUCCAAUAGAAUAGUAAAUUUUUGAUAAACGAAGUCUAAAAUAUUUUAACUUUUUUAAAAAUCGGUUAUUCUUUUAAUGUAUUUCAAUGAUAAUAUACAGAAAAAAAUAUCUUUUCAAUUUAUGUAUUUUAUAAAUUUAACUACGACACUUUAACAUAGUAUUGUGGCGAUGAAUAUUGUAAUUGAGUACUGUCACAUGAUCAAUUUUUUUUUUUUUAACUUUUUUACCAUUUCAAUGUGUUCAAGCGAAGGUGUGCUAAGGGAACCGCUACCAAACCUUUUCAUUUCAUCGCCAUCGGGUUCUUUUAGAUAUGUUUUUUUUUAAGUACAAAUAACGCAAUUUCACUGUAAUGCCAACGUGGCAAAAGCGCUUUGGAUAUUUAUUUAGCUUACGGUAGUCUCAUCGCAGAGGAUGAGAGCGCUUGAGCCUUUUUUUAACGGUGCCACAGAGAAACUGAAGUCUUGCCGUCGACGGUAAAAUUUGCAAUAAUGACCGGUGGAAACAGCCUUUUUAGGCCGUUGGAUUUAAAAAUUGCAAAACUAUGUAGCAUGGAUUUGCCAUAAAGUACAAAGUUGAUAACUAACUACAACUAGGAAGUUGGAACUUGGAACCUUCCUAAAGCAAUUUAGCAUCUUGCUUUUGUUGUACUUUCUCUCUUUUAAAAAAAAGAAUUAAGUUUUUCUCUUUAUAUUUAAUUUGAAGAAAUUGUGUCAAAAGAGAGGAUUUUGCUAUGUUACAUUGAAUGUACCAUACACAACUAAUAAGAACCACACAAUUAUAUGGGUCCCAUAAUUUAUGUGGUUCUUAUUAGUUGUGUAUGGUACAUUCAAUGUAAUAUAGAGGCUCCCCAAAAGAGAAUAUGAGAUAAAAAAGAGGUAAAAAUAUGGAAAACUCCUAUUGAGAUGUAAAACUAUCGGAGACAUGCAACAGCCGCCACACAAUGUUGGAUAUUAUUUGUGUUGGGCUUGGGGGUUGAGAUUUUGCUUUUAGAUCACACCACACCACUCAUAAGAUCUCGUAGCAUUUAAUAGGCUCAUCAUGUGUAGCCCACCAAUCAAUUCUAACCCGGGAAUGCGAGAUUCUGACGCCUCUCAUUCUACGAUGUAGCCAUCUAUCUCAUUCUUCGGAGCGCACAGAGUCUCAUGUGCGAUAGGCCCUUGGGGUCACACAACUGACUUGUUUGCAGUAGGCCCCAAGGGACACCACACUGGACAUCUGUGUCGACACUAGUGUGGACAAUUAAUUGACUAUGCUAAAAAAAAUAAAACACUUUUUUCCAUAAAUUUUUUUUGAAAAUAUUAUUUGAAUAGGGCAAGUUUAUAAAGAAAUUUUGAUAUUAUGGGUAAUUUGUAUUUAUAAUUUUCUUCGCAAUAAAUUAAGUUUCUAAAUUUGCCCCUAAUCACAUACACUGUAUGUGAUUAUCUAUUUCCUAAACUGUUGGCUCAUUAACUCCGACGUUGAUAUCAUUUGUACUAACUCACCUCACCAAAUACGAUAUUAUUUCCUUUAAAUUAGGCUCCGUAUACUUUUAGAUCAACUCAAAAAGUCUCGUAUACUAUUUGAGAAAUGACCCAGUAUAACCCAAUAAUUAUUUGUAACUCAAUAAUGUGUGAUUCAACAACCCUACCAUAAAGUGUUUGGUAAUAUUUAAUUUUAAAAUUCCUAUGAGGUUUAAAAGCAAGUAUAGGUGUUUGAUAAAUUUUACUAUUAAACUGCUGUAAGAAUAUAAAUGACUUAAUUGAAUAUAAUAUUAAAUAAAAUUUAUUUAAAUAUUUAUAAAUAUGUAUAUAAAAUAUUUUUCUGUAUAUGUAUAAUAAUUGAUAACUAAAAUAAAUAUAUUAUACUAUUAUUUUUUAUUUUGUUAUGUCAAUAUGUUUGGUAUAAUAAUAAUUUCUUUAAAGUUAGUGAUUUUUAUUUUCUAAUUGAUAAGGAGAAUUUAGGAUUUUUAUAAUAUAUAUGAGGAUAUAAUGGAGUUAUAUUAAUUGUAAAAGUGAUUUUUAAAAUUAAAUUUUGAAAAACUACUCAUUUUCUACUUUUCAAAAUCUACUCUAGGACGGAUGAUUUUAUCAAAAGUGAUUUUAGAAAAACUUAUUAAGCACUAAAUUAGUUUUUAACUUUUUAAAAUCACUUUUAACCCUCUCAAAAAUAAUCUCAAACUGAGUCUUAUAGUUAGCAUCUUUAGUUCAUAUUUUAUUCUUCUCUUCAUUCUUAUCCCAUCCGUUGACAUUUCUCUCAAAAAAAUUUGUUUCAAUAUGAAAAUUUCAUGAUAAUUAGUCAUUACUUGUUAGAGAUGAAAAUGAGAAUGAAAUUUGCAUCAAGUCCAUCACCCCCGAUGUUUAUCUUUGUGUUAUAAUAUGUGACAAUUAAAUACAAGAAAAUUCUGUGAUGUCAUUAUUAAAAUUGCAGCAUCAAUGUCAUGGUAAACAUAAAUUUUGUAAAAUACAUAUAAGACUAGUAAAUGAAAGGUAAAAUAAGUAAAUUAAUAUGAGAGUGGUAAAUAAGUGUUUUAAAAUUGUAAACAAAACAAACACUUAUAAAAAUAAUAUAAAAAAUAUAAAUCAAUAUUAAACUUUAAUUUAAAAAAUAUAUUACUUAUUUAAUUUAUUUGAGCAAAAAAAUUUCUCAUUAAUUAAAAAAAAGUUGUAUUGAAAACAAUUGAAAUAAGUUUUACUAAAUUAGUUUAAUCAUCAAUUCUAUAUUCAUGAUAGGACAUUCAUAAAAAAAAAUAAAAUCAUUUUCUGUUAUAGUAUUUGUUUACUUUACAAGAUAAUUAAGUGAAAUUAUUUUUCUUGAUGUGGAUCGAGCCAAAACAAAAUAAAAAUACAUUCAUAUAUUACUAGAUAUAUAUGAAAUAUCAAUAAAAUUGGAUCUAAUUUUUAGUUUUAUACAUAUUUCAUAUAGUUUCAAACUUUACUUCUUGCUUUGGGGUUGCUGUUGAGGAGGUUUAAAAGAAUGCAAAAUCAGUUAUCUUACAAACAAUUUUGAAAAAUAUAAAAAAAAAAGGUUUUCCAAAAUUUGAUUUUAAGAAUAAAUUUUAUCCUUAAUAAAAUUUCACAUAUAUUAUCACAUGUAUUAUAUAAACCCAAAAUUAUUAUUAUUAGUUUAGAAAUAAAAAAGUACAUAUAUAAGGUAAUCAUUAUUUUUAAUGAAUUUUAUUUUGUAUUUGUAAGUUUUUAAUUUUUUUCAAUUACUCUUACAAUGUUUACUUGUUUUACAUUUCAUUUAUAAAUCUUCUAUUUCAUUUUGUAUAAUCUGUAUGUUAUUUUACACUUAAUAUUGUUUUAAAAGUUUUAUGAUACUUUUGUAAAUUUAUGUUAUGUUUACUACUAAUACAUCAUUUUACCCACUCUUACGUUAAUUUACUUGUUUUACUUUCUAUUUACAGGUCUUAUAUUUAUUUACUUAAUUUACACUUAAUGUUGAUUUACAAGUUUUAUUUUAUAUCUUUAAAUUUAUGUUUUUUUUUGCCAAUAUUACAUCAUUUUACCACUCCAAUAUUAAUUUUAUUUACAUGAGUUAUUUUUAAUUUUCUUAAUUAUGUUUUGUUUUACACUUAAUGCUGAUUUAUAAGUUUUAUAUUAUAUUAAUAAGUUUUUGUUUUAUUUACCAAUGAUAUAUUAAUUUACCACUCCUAUGUUAAUUUACUUAUUUACCUUUCAUUUACAAAUCUUAUAUUCCAUUUGCAUCAUUUAUAUUUUAUUUUACACUGAAUGUUGAUCUACAAGUUUAAUAUUAUAUCUAUAAGUUUUUGUUUUAUUUACCAAUAAUACAUCAAUUUAGCACUCUUGUGUUGAUUGACUUGUUUUGCCUUCUAUUUAUAAGUAUUAUGUUUUAUUUACUUAAUUUACGGUUUUUUUUACACUUAAUAUUGAUUUACAAAUAUAAUUUAUGUUACGUCUAUAAGUUUUUGUUUUGCUUACCAGUAUUAUACUAAUUUAUCAUUCCUAUAUUAAUUAGCUUGUUUUAUCUUCCAUUUAUAAGUCUUAUGUUUUAUUUACUUAAUUAUGUUUUUUUACACUUAAUAUUGAUUUACAAAUUUUAUAUUACAUUUAUGAGUUUUUGUUUUGCUUACCAGUAUUACACUAAUUUACCAUUCCUAUAUUAAUUAUUAAUUAGCUUGUUUUAUCUUUCAUUUACAAGUUUUAUGUUUUAUUUACAUAAUUUAUAUUUUGUUUUGCAUUUAAUUUUGAUUUAGAAGUUUUAUGUUAAAUUUAUAUGUCUUAUAUUUCAUUCAUAUAAUUUAUAUUAAAUUACGGUAUUAAUGCGUGAUUUUAGUUAUAACAUUAUAGAUUGAUCCAUACAUAAAUACAAAUCAAAGGCAUCCUGAGUUUUCAAACUCAUUGCAUCAUGAUAUUUAAUUAUCCUAUCAAUUCAUAACAAAAUGGUCAUUGUUUGCGUGAACGAAACUAACUCCACGUUUGAUUUUUUUUGCUCCAGAAAAAAAAAAAGAAAAUUAGUUGUUAUAGAAAAUUCUCAUGUAUGAUUAUCUCAUUUAAUUAAACACAAAUAAGAUGACUACAAAUGAAGUUAGAGACGAAAUGACACAUCCUUUUCAGCCCAUUCUACAAAUUUGACAAGAUUGACAUCACUAACGUGAAUGAAAAUAACGCCGUAUUUGAAUUAUAUUUGCCCAAUUAAUGUGAUGAAUUAUGUUGUCUAGGCAAUUACUCAUGCAUAAAGCCAUUUUAUUAUUAUUAUUAUUAUUAUUAUCAUCAUCAAAGCAAUUGACUUUGUUGUGUUCAUGUCUUUCUCUUGAAUAAUGGACAAUAAAGUUACAUGCAUAUCAUACUGUCUUUUCAACAUGAGCUCACAAUUGCACGAUCACGAUGUAUGGAUGAAAUUAAUUUCUUCACCAUUCAUUAUUGUGUAUUUCGAAAGCACGUCUAUUUUAUGAUAAUUGCACUUUUUGCUUCUUCAAAAUUAAUUAAUUACAGGUUAAAAUAACAUUAUUGUAUUUAGGCCCGUAUUUGAUGGGACAAAAUUGAAAGGCUUGAUUCUAUUUUUUUUUUUUAAAUCACAUUUAUUUAACAUUUUGAAAACAAAAACUCUUUUGGAUCCAUCAAAUUCAAAGCAAAGGAUAAGAUCUUUUCUUUUUCUUACAAAUAAAAUUGUUACUAUAAGUUCAAAUCAAGCUUACUACUGGCCAUUGCCAUUUAAAAGACCCGUUAUGUUAUGUAUAGCGUCUCGAGUAACGAUAUAUGUACUACAAUGGGGAUAAAAAUGAGGACAAAAUAAAUAAAAUAGUAAUACGUGCACAUAAAGAGAAAAUUAAGAGUGUGUUUGGUAACGUUUUUAGUUUGUUAUUUUUUGUUUUGUGAGAAGGAAAAUCGAUGAAACUUGUUUGGUGGACUCAUUUUUUAGGAAAAUGCUACAUUUUAUAAGAAAUGAAUCAUUUCCAUCCUUUAAAAGUUUGUGAAGGAAAUUAGAAAACAUUAUAUUGGCAUUCUCAAAUUUUUGUUCUCCGCCAGAAGUCUCCCAAAUUUGACUUUAUAUUAUCAUUGCAAUAAAUUUCAUAGGUCCUCCAAUAAAGAUGUCUUAUUUACAUUAUUAUAAUAUAUGACAAGAAUAUGUAAUAUAAUUACAAAUUGAUUUAUAUCUUAAAUAUUAUUAUGUUAUAGAUAUAAUUUAUAUACACAAUAAAAAAUACAUUAUUAUUUUAAAAAAAUAAAAAAUAACUAUUUUUGGAGGAACAGUUAAAAAGUAAUAUACAAUACAUAUGGUUUUCUAACUAAAUAAAUUUUUUAAUGACAUAAUAUAUUUUUAUAUUUAUUAUAUUACAUUAUGAUAUUUUAUAGAUAGUUUUAUAUUUAUCUAGUAAAUUAAAAUCUGACCAUUUUGAAAAAUGAUACUUUAUAACAAUAACUCACAGAAAAUAUAAUGCAACUAAUAAGAAAAAAAAUAAGUAAUAAGUAAUUCUUUACUCUCUCUCACUGUUCUAAUUUUUUCAAACAAAAAAUAAAUAUAUUUUCACUGUUUUCAUUUUCAUAUUUCAGAUAAAUAACCAAACAUAUAUUUUUUUUCCAAUCAAAUAAUUAAUAGUGGAUUCGCAUCAUUCAUAAAUCAUAAUAGUUUUUUGACUGUUAAUAAAAUAACCGAAGCAAAUGUGUUUCAUAUUUCCUUUAGACCAUUUCACUCAAGUGCAACAAUACCACGCAAUAAUUCACUACUUUACGUGAAAUUUAUCCGCGACUCACCUUCAACGAUCAGCACUUUGACCAACUUCAACUUGAUUGCUUUUUUUUUUUUUUCAAAGCCAAUUUUAGUUGGAUGGUCCUUUUUUUUUUUUUUCUUUAAUAUCAACAGAAUUAGAUUGAAUAUUUUAUUUUUGUUACUAAAAAUCAAAAUGGGAUUACACACAACUUUAAUGGCUUUUUUUUUUCAUUUAAAUUUAAAAAAAAAGUGGUUUUCUUAAUAAGUUGUUAUUGUAGAGGAAUAUUAAUUACAUUGUAUAAAUAAAAAUGACAAGAAUCAAAGGGAUUUUGCUUUUGAGAACGGAGAAGGGAGAACUAUCAAAAGGUGAAUUCAAAUGCCACGAUGUGCUCGCAGGCUUCAGCAGAAGGAAAAGGUAAGGAACUGACAAGCACAACAACAACUGGUCCAACAAGCAACAUCGAAUGUAUCUUCAACGUGGCCUUAUUUUUUUACUUUUAGAAGAAUGUUCUCCCGCACGAAGUUUCGCCCUUUACGGCGGGCGCAACUUCACGCAGAGUCGAGUUUUUAUUGGGGGAGUGUACUACUCGUGAAGUCGCUCGCUGAACGUAUCCUCAACUUUUAAAUAGUUAAAAUUUUACAAUAAUAAUAAUUGACUAAUGCAAAUUUGGCCUUACUUUUUCAUGAUCCCAUAGAACUAAAAUUAUAAAGGUCACAUCACUCAUACUAAAUUAUCUUCCAAUCACACAAAGGCACAAAAUUUUUAUACAAAUUCACGUGUCAUUUAAUUAAAAUUACGCGGGCUAGUUAAUGACACCCUGGUUUAUAUAUAAUAUUUGACAGUUUUAUUGUCGCGUCUUUAAAUAGAUGUAAGGAGAUUCAGUUUGUAAAUCUCAAGUCAAAUCACUAAAUCUCCUAUCUUCGAACUCAAAUUACGAAUAAAAAAAAAAAAAGGAAAGUAGAGAAUUGAGAGUUCAAAAAUAGAUAUUGUAUUAAUUUAUGACAAUAAAAAUAUUAUUUUUCGUGUGAGUGUUAGUUAGUUUGACUAAUAAAACCUUUUUAAGAAUUAAGAUGAUUUAUAAAGUCUACUGCUCAUAAGAAUUAUAUUUUUGUUAAGCCACUAAUAAGGAAAAAAAGAUUUUACCAUCAAUUUUUUGCCUCCUUAUGUAUUCAAUAUUGAAAUUUUACAAGAGCUAAAUUUUAAUUAAUUAGUUAGGCAAUAAACAAUGCAAUUUAAUUGAGAUUAAAAAAAAAGGUAGCCUCAAAACAAGGUGGGCCCAUUACGAGACUUCCAUUUUUUAAGAUGAAAUUAUUAGUUGUUUUAAUGUAUCAAAUUCUCUUGUUCUAUAGCAAAAUAAAAAUUAAUAAACCACUUAGAUCACUCCCAACUAGUAAAUAUAUUAUCUAAAAAAUGAUAAAAGCCAUAUAGAAAGAGUCAAAAAAAUUCACUAAAUUUUUUUUUUAAAGUGAACGCGGCGUCGUUUUGCCUGCGCUUAUGACAGAUGGAUAAGGCCUUCAUUUUUCCUUUUUUCAUUUUUCAUUUUUUUUUAAUUUUCUCACAUAAUAUAAGAGGAGGGUUUUGACUUUUCACACUUUCUCGUUUCAGUUUUUCAGUCUGUUGAGGAUUGUAAAUUUAUUUUCUUCAUUAAUUAAAAAAAAUUCCCAGUCUCUUCUCCAUUUUCUUUUUUGAAACAAAAUUCUUAGGGUUUACUUCAAUCUCUCCUUCGAUUGAUUUCUUAAACUACUGGUGCGUUAAUUUAAUUUUUGUUUAUUCGAACUGUUGUUAUUAGUAUUUCAAUUGUCAAUAUUUUUCCGAUCAUUGAAUAAGCUCUGUUUUGUAAUGCUUUAAUCUUGAACGAGCUGAUUUCAUAUGCCCGCAUUAGCUUUCUCGAAUUACCUCAUUUUCUCGCUUAAUUUUAAGGUUUAGAUUUGCAUUUGUUCGAUUAGAUGAUGAUUUAUAGUAAUUCGAGAUUGUCGUGAUUGUAGUUUCAUUCAUUUUUACUGCCAACAUUUUGUUUCGAUAAAACGAUUGUAAAUUGUUACUAGUAUGCAUAUUUCACUUGUCGUAUUGUUAGAGUUUUUGUGAAUAUUUCGUGUAUUCUUUGCAUUUUGGUCUAGUUUUUGUAUUUAUUUUGUUACUUAAAUCUAUAUUGGUCAAUUCUUUGUGCAACUGAUCACUGUCGCAAGGGUUAGGUAUAUGGAUAUAUGUUUGUAAAUGUAGUAUGUGAUCUUUGUUAAGUGAAUGCUAUUCCUGGCAUAAAGGACAAUUGAAGAUUUUUCGUAUUCUGGCGGUGGCUUAAAAGAAUUGAUAUGGUGAUAGCUUUUUCAUUUUUUCCAGUUUUAUUGUUGACAUACUGUUUGUUCAUAUUUGUUUCAGGGGUUGUUGCAAUGCACCGCGUGGGUAGUGCGGGUAACAAUGCCAAUUCUACUCGCCCCCGUAAAGAGAAGAGGUUGACAUAUGUGUUGAAUAAUUCUGAUGACACCAAGGUGAAGUGAAUUUGUGAUUCUUUUAGCUUUUUAUAGUAUUUUUUUUUGUUUUCAAACUCUGAAGAGCAUGAGGUCCUUUGUGGAUUGUAUGCUUUCCUAGAUCUUGAAUAAUGUGCCUUUUCCAUUUAAGCUAAUUAUAUGUUUGGUUGAUUGGUAGGAUUGUAAAUUGGUUGCCAAGCACUUAGUCGAUUCAGUUGAUACUUGUUUGCCUUUGCCUUUUCAUAUUGGAAAAAUAACCGGAGUUUAAAUACAUUACUGUGGCAAAUAAAACCUUUAUCAAAUCAUUAAAGUAUGACUUAGAAACGUCAUACAUGUGUAUUAUGGAUACCUAAAAUUAUAUUAGAUAACUUUUUCUAUAGCAUUGGGCUUUUUUAUUACGGAAACUGAUGUAUUUUUUAUACUAUUGAUGACUUCAUUAAUGUUAGCAAAGUUGUAGUUCCUCAUGUUGCUCUUUUUGGAAUUCUUCUCUUGUAGCAUUGUGCUGGCAUAAAUUGUUUGGCUGUAUUGAAGUCAUCUGUAUCCAAUGGGGUUGAUUACCUGUUCACUGGCAGUCGUGAUGGCACAUUAAAGAGAUGGUCACUGGCUGAUGAUGUUGGAAGUUGUUCUGCAACAUUUGAGUCGCAUGUUGACUGGGUACAUUCUUUUUUUCAUGUGGUUUUUUAUUGUUCAUCAAGUAUGACUACCAACAGGCCUUAGCUAAGUUGGUAUUUAUAAAAUUUUUGUCACAUACUUAGUUUAAGAUUGCAUUGGAGCAAAUUUGAGUUGAAUCUUCAUCCACUGGAAUUUUUUUUAAAGUAAUUAUUUUGAAUCUAUUAUUAAAAAUUAACUCGCCCUCAAACACACACCUGCAAGAAAGAAAAGGAGUAUUAGACAUGAACACCAGAAUUUUUAUUUGUUAAAUACACAUCUAAGAUUGAGGUAGAGAGCCUUCUAGAUCUUCGUAUGGAACUAGAAUAUGGAGCUAUCUUCUAUCAUGGUAUAUUAAUACGAUACAAUUGUCUAUUUGAAUGCAUAAAUAUCUAGCUGCCCUUGCAUAUAAGGGGAAUGUCUGUGGUUCUGCAGGUAAAUGACGCUGUCCUUGUAGGUGAUAAUACUCUUGUUUCCUGCUCUUCAGACACCACCCUCAAGGUUUGUUAAUUUGGUUUUGCCGAUUUUCUAAUAUGUUUACUAUGCGUUUCUUGUUGAUUGAUUUGGUUAUUUCGUUUUUCUUUCUUUUCGGUUGAUAUACUCCAGACAUGGAAUUGCUCAUCUGAUGGAACUUGUAUAAGGACUCUCCGUCAGCACUCUGACUAUGUUACUUGUCUCGCUGCAGCAGAAAAAAAUGUAAUUUCUAUGUCAAAUCUUUCGUGGAUCUUAGUAACUGCAUUGAUGAAAGGUUCCUUUCAGAGAAAUCUUUCUAUUUAAGUUUUAUAUUCAAUUCGAUGGCAAAAAUUGCUUUUGGACAUGUAGUUUCUGUACUAUCAUUACUAUUUUCGUUUUCUGAUCCUCUUUUAGUAUCAUGCAUUUUAGAGCAAUAUUGUUGCAUCUGGUGGUCUUGGUGCGGAGGUUUUCAUAUGGGAUAUAGAAGCUGCCCUUGCUCCUUCGAAAUCAGGUGAUGCCAUGGAAGAUGAUUGUUCAACUGGUAUCAAUGGUUCUGGGAAUUCGUUACCAGUAACAAGUCUACGGACCAUUGGUUCAAGCAACAGCAUUUCAGCACACACAAGUCAGUCUCAAGGAUAUGUCCCAAUUGCUGCCAAAGGCCAUAAGGAGUCUGUCUAUGCAUUGGCCAUGAAUGAUAGUGGAAACCUUCUGGUUUCUGGUGGAACUGAGAAGGUAUAAUCCAAUGUAAAGACCGUUGUUGCAUUCCUUUUUUUCUGCUGCAUAGGAAAUUAAAGAAAGAUGCACAUAUUUCCUUCUUUUGUUGUUCAACUCUUAUUAUUUUAGUGAUUAGAUGGUUUGAAAGGGUUUCUAAUGGAGACUAAUUUUGUGCAUCCUGUCAUGCUUCCUCUAGGUUGUACGUGUAUGGGAUCCAAGGACUGGUUCAAAAACUAUUAAGCUUAGAGGGCAUACAGAUAAUAUUCGAUCUCUGCUCCUAGAUUCUACUGGAAGGUUAGUUGAAUGGAGUCUGUAGUUAUCUAAUGUUAUGAAAAUAUUUCUCAAAUAGUUACUAGGGGGAGAAAGUGUGUGAUGCAAUUCAGUGCAUGUCAUAGCAUGAGUGACAGAUAUGAUAAGGUGAUUGGGAUGUGUGCAAAAAGUUAUAAAGGCAACUCAAUUCAAAUGCCUUCUCUGAGGGUAAAAAACAAAUUUGGGUUAUACUGAUAAAACGAAGGGUGGGGGUAAAGGAUCUCAAAAAAACCAUUUUUUUCAUUUUAAAUUGCAGGGGAAUGCCGAGGUGGGAUGCUUAUAAAUAAAGAAGAUUUGGGGUCACUGUAUGAUUGGGUUCCAUUUGUUUAUUCCCUUAAUUAAUUUAGUUCAUUUAUUUAUUUUUUUAUCAAUUUCUGCAGAUAUUGCUUAUCAGGAUCCUCCGACUCUAUGAUCAGGUAUUCAGGCUAUUUUUUAAAUUCUUCUAAGAGUUGUCCCAACCAUACAAAUCGGAGAUAUGAUCCGUAAUUGGUUAUUGAUUCAUUUUUAUAGGUUAUGGGAUCUUGGUCAACAACGAUGCAUUCACUCCUAUGCUGUCCACACUGAUUCUGUUUGGGCACUUGCCAGCACUCCAACAUUUAGUCACGUUUACAGUGGUGGGAGAGACCUUUCUGUGAGUACUCUUAUCUUGUGUAGAAAAUAUUCUCUCACUUUGUCUACUAUUUAGGUUCGGUGCUUAAUUCUGUGUAUGCCCUCAGUUAUACUUGACAGACUUGGCGACUAGAGAAAGUCUAUUGCUUUGCACAGGGGAACACCCAAUUCUGCAAUUGGCAUUGCAUGACGAUAAUAUAUGGGUAGCCACAACAGAUUCUUCGGUUCAUAGGUGGCCUGCUGAAGGACGCAAUCCUCAAAAGGUCUUUCAGAGAGGUGGCUCAUUCAUAGCUGGAAAUUUGUCUUUUUCGAGGGCAAGAGUUUCGUUGGAAGGAUCUACGCCAGUAAGUAAAACUUUCAUCCACUUAUUUUCCAAUAGUUUCUGUAUUAUGCAGUUAUUUUGUUUAAGUUGUAGACAUCCCUUAUAGUUUUUGCCAGAUCAUUUGUGGAUAAUUGGAUUAUUGAUAUUUUUCUCAAUGGUUGUUGCAUUAUCCAUUUACAGCUCGUUUAUAGCUGGCUUCAUUUUCAGUUCUGAUUCCCCUUGAGGAACCUUGUGGAAAGUAUUAACUGCUUUUGAUCUUCUGCAUUAUAUUUCAUAAUAUGCCUUCUUUUCAUUGAUUUGCACUCGACUUUUUUCUUUUUCUCAUUUUUUUUUUUGGGCCCCCACUCUUUAACUGUAAUCUCUUCUGACUGUCUUCAAUUUUCCAAUAAAUGAUGUCUCUCUUUCUUUUCCUUUUACUGUGAUGCAUGCCUUCAAUAACUAACUAUUUGGCAUUUUUGCAGGUUCCCGUUUUCAAAGAACCAAACUUUACCAUUCCUGGAAUUCCGGGAAUUGUGCAGCAUGAAAUCUUAAAUAAUAGAAGGCAUGUUUUGACUAAGGUGAAUAUCAUAGUUUCCUUUGUUCUGCUAGUUUUGCUGUUGAGUGCCUGUCUUUUGCUGUUGUGCUUUUGUAAACUUGUUAAUCCUUUUUGAUAGGACACUGCUGGUUCAGUGAAGCUAUGGGAGAUCACGCGAGGUGUUGUGGUUGAGGACUAUGGAAAGGUUGCAAAGUUUCUUAAUCCUUGUAUUUCAGCAGAACUUUAUGGUUUCUAGUGCAUGGCUGAUUUUGUGUUUGAUUUCAAUCUUACAGGCUUCAUUUGAGGAGAAAAAAGAAGAACUAUUUGAGAUGGUAUUGACCUGUUUGUUGUAGUGUCAAAUUGUCAACAAAUUUGGUGAACCUUACUGAUCAUUUCCUUGUGGCUCCAGGUAAGUAUUCCUGCGUGGUUCACGGUGGACACUAGACUUGGAAGCUUGUCUGUUCAUUUGGACACACCACAAUGCUUCUCCGCUGAGAUGUAUUCAGCGGACCUUCAAAUUGCUGGAAAGCCUGAGGACGAUAAGGUAAAAGUACUUUUGGUCUUCAUUCCCUUGAGUAAUUCACAUGUAUCAAUAAAUGGACUUGUCUUGUUUUAUUUUUCUUGGAUUAGUUUGAUUAUUCUAUAUCUAGAUCCCUAAACUGUUGUAUCAGUGGGGUAUAUAUAUGAUAUGUGGAACUUAUAUAUAUUUGCUUCUGUUAAUAUUCUUUGGCAAUUCUUUUAACUAUCAUGCAGAAGGUACAUUAAAAUACCAAAGACGUAUUAAAAUGUAGUGUUGACCUGCUGUUGGUGCUUUAUCUUAAAGGGCUGAAGUCUCUUCCCCAAACACCCUCUCUCUCCCAACCCAUUUAUAGUGAAUGCAUUACACACACACACAUAUAUAGAUUGAUCUUGAUUCCGUGGGGGAUAAAAAAAUAGUUAGCCUUAAAAUAUUGGUAUUUGUUUAGAAAAUUUCACUGAGUUAUUUAUUGCAUUUACUUGUGAUCCACAGGUUAACUUAGCUCGUGAAACCCUCAAAGGUCUACUGGCUCAUUGGUUAGCUAAGAGAAAGCUGAGACUUGGAUCACAAGCUACUGUCAAUGGGGAUGUUUUAUCAGCAAAGGAUAUCAGUGCUAGAAGUCUUACCCAUUCAAGAGUUGAAGUAGAUGGUAAUGCUGAAAAUGACUCAGUGGUGUAUCCUCCAUUUGAAUUCUCAACAAUUUCGCCACCAUCCAUAAUUACGGAGGGUUCUCAAGGAAGCCCAUGGAGAAAGAAAAUUACAGACUUGGAUGGAACUGAAGAUGACAAGGACUUUCCUUGGUGGUGUCUUGACUGUGUCUUGAAUAAUCGUCUACCACCCAGAGAAAACACCAAGUAAUUUGACUUAUUGCCGUUUAUAUAUCUAAAUAUAACCAUCUUUUGUGGAAAGUUAAACAUGACUGAAUUGGACACAGUAUAUGCGUCCUUGUUCUCCCAUGAGAGAUAUGUCAUUGCGGCAGCUUUUCUUUUAGAAGAAAUCAUUAACUAUUUUGACACAUUUAUAAGUUUGAUAGAAGCAAUCCAAAAGUGGCUGUUUUUUGGCUGUUUUUGUUUGGACUUCAACUUCUUCUCUUCCCUCUUGCAUAUUUUUUUUUGUUUUUUUUUUUUUGGGGGGGGGGGGGGGGGGAGUGUAUUCUGCUAUUUUCAUGUUUUCCUUGUAUCUGGCUAUAAUAAGUAGGAAUUUUACACCUUACAUAUACUUUCAUAUUUGGUUUACAGGUGCAGCUUUUACCUGCAUCCUUGUGAAGGUUCGGCUGUCCAGAUCCUGACACAGGGGAAACUAAGUGCACCUCGGAUAUUGAGAAUACACAAGGUGAUUUGGUUUACAAGUGUUGUUGCUCGGCAAUAUGAAAACUUUUCAUUUUGCUGAGUUAGGUUAACUAAUUGCAUUUGCUCUACUUUCAUUAAUAUGAUCUCUUAAUUAAUUACCUGGAAAGCUAUGCUAUUGACAAUUGUUUAUUCAAACUUCAAAAUGAACUGCACUCCUAUUGAUAGAUGAAAAUAUAUGAGAUUUUGGAGGUAUCACAUAGAAAAUCAUACACAAUGACAGUCUUUGUAAACUAGACAGGAUUAUUGCCUCCGUUUGCUUUUUCGUAGGAUGUAAUAAAGGUUCUUGCUGCAUGUAAAGUUAAAAUUAUUUACUAUGCAUUUUUUAUUUUUAACAUACUAGAGUUUAAUAUGGAGCCUAGAUCCAUUACAAUAUGCAGAUUCAUUCCUUUCUGUUGGCAUUUUCACUUUCCUGAUGGUGUCUGGUGUUGAAGAUUUCUGCACUUUUGUUGAUAUCUCAACCUUUUUGACUGUCUUCUGGCCUGUGUAUAUAGCUUUAUGCAUGGAAUGAUACACAUUUGAAGACUCCUUCACAUUUGUGGAUAUCUCUACCCUUUUGACUGUCUUCUGGCCUCUACAUGGCUUUAAGCAUUGACUGACACAUUCUUUCAGUAGACAUGCCUUAUACGUUGAAAAUUUCUGUUGAAUGAUAUUUUUGGAUAAGGCUAUGUAGUAAUUGCCUUGUUCUACCGUCCCAUUUUUUUCAAGAACUGACUGUCUUUGCUUUACUGUUAUGUUUAUGUAGGUUGUUAAUUAUGUCAUAGAGAAGAUGGUUUUUGAUAAACCAUCGGAUAGUGUAAAUCCUGAUGGAACAUUCGCUCCUCCCCUUGGCGGAGGUCCAUUGCAGAGCUCUGCUGUUGGAGAUGGAUCUUUCCGUUCUGGAUUGAAGUCAUGGCAAAAGCUAAGGCCUUCUAUAGAGAUCUUGUGUAAUAAUCAGGCAAGUGAAUCAUCUCUCAGAUGUUGAUAAACCGAUAAUGCUAAGCUUUUACAGUUUAAAAAUGUUUUAGUAGAGAUAGUUGUGUGGUAAACAAGAAAAAGGCAGUGAUCAAUUAGUUUACUCAUUUUAAGAUUAACAUGCUUGUUGUUGUCCAAAUUUUUUAUGUUUAGAACUUAGCAAAUAUAGUUUUAAUUAUAUGCCAACAUGCUUGAUUUGCCUUGCUAUCUGGUGUCCGUUAUUGGUUUUUGUCUUUCCUAGUCAAGAGUAAACCCAAUGUGCAUAUAGGUCUAGCUUUUUCCUUGAUUGCUUGAAUUUUAAAAUCAAAUGGGUUCCUGUUUACUGGAGUUUGCAUUUGUCAACUAAUAUGAAAAAUUGUUAUUUAAAUUGCAGCACAUGUGAGAACUGUGACCAUGAACAUGCCUUCAUCAUUUUUCAACCUAUAGUUUGGCUUUUGUUCGUAUUGAGCAAUCUGUUUCUGUAAUUCCCAGGUCUUAUCUCCAGAUAUGAGCUUGGCUACUGUGCGUGCUUAUGUAUGGAAGAAACCUGAGGACCUGGUUCUUAAUUACAGAGUGGUCCAGGGCAAGUGACCCCAAAUGGUUUCGGAAGAAGGUGAAUGCUUUUUACUUUCUAUGGCUUUCAUGAUUCUAAGUUACCAUUUUAGUACUCAAAUUUUGCUGCAAUUUUGUACAAGUGAAAACACUUGGAAAAAUGGACUCCUUUAUCUCAAACAAAAGAAAUGCAAGGUAAUCCUUCCAAUUUGUCUAUGAAUUCCAUUUGACAAAAGUUCAUUUGGAAUUGCACAAAAUGGCUAUUUUUUCCCCCUUAGAGGAAAGCAUAAUUGUAUGGAAAAUUUACUAAUUUUGACCAUGCUGAGUUGGUUCUCUUCUGGUAUUGUGUUUUGUGUAUUUUUAUGCCGGUUGUUGUUAUCUACUGUUGCAGGCUAGACUCUGCGUGUGUGACGGAGAUGUUGUGAAACAAAAAAAAAAGUAUAUCGAUUCUUCUGGGUCGGCUUUCGUUGGGCCCUUGUACAUUUGGAAAACCAAUGGAUUGCUGAACCUUGAGCAUUCUCCGAACCUGCUGUGAAGAUCCUUUCAACCAUUUUCCCUGUUGGACAGGUUCUAUGAUAAAAAAAUUUUGAUCAUUGUCUUGCUGAAAUGUUGCCAGUUUUUGCUGCGGAGUGGGGAUUAUACUGUAAGUCUGCUUGUGGGAAUAGAAGGGGAUUGUGACAAAAGAAAAUUUGCUAGUACUACUUUGAAUACUUUUGGUGAAGACUACUGAAUUACAGAGAUAAUGUUGAAAACUUGUAGAAUUGUAUUAUGGAGCAAGAUACCUGACCCUGCCAUAAUUAAUUAAUUAUGGACAUUUUUUUGCCUCUUGUCAUUUUUCUUAAAAAUUGUCUUCCUUUCCUUUUUUGGGUAAAAAAUAAUAGUGUAAUACGAUUCUCUUUUGUGUUAAAUUAGUCACAUAAGUUAUAUUUGGCUAGUCUUGUUUAAAUGGUUUUGAUUAGUGAGUAGGUUAUAUUUUUCCCAGAUUGCUUGAAUGAUUGAACUAAUAGGUGUUAGUUGGGAAUUUUAACAGAAACCACGUGAAAAAUAACUAAAAACUUGUGUUUUCGGUGGGAACACUUGUGUUUGCUUGAGAGAAAAUAUGGAGCGAGUUCACAUGCCUCUCGACAAGAUAAUAUUUAUGGGUUUUUUUUUCCCCCACUUUUGAAAGGGAUAAUAUUUAUAAAUUAUGACGCGCAUUUCUUGGAAAGCCUUUCGGGAAUUUUCAACUUCAAAAAACUUGAAAGAUGCUUUCCUGUGACACCAAGAAUAAUUUUUUCUGAUGUAGCUUUUCAAUUUUUGACUUUUGCAUUGCGAUGAUAUUGGUGGUUGCCACUCUAAGGUUCCAUGAGUGAUUGUCAUCCAAUCAUAAUUGAUAGGCAAUAGGCUUGUGAUUAAGUGGUACUUAUGCCUUAAAUAUGUGUGAGUGGACAUGAGCUUCGAUUUUCAUGGGGCUUAUUCCCCUUGAAUACGGGUAAAUAUUUUUUAAUAUUUGGUGUUGGUUGAUUUUCAGAUUAGUGCUUGACAUAUUUCUUCACUGUACUAUAAGUGCAAGCAUCUACAUUCCCAGUAGAUUUUGUUGUAAUAUAUCUGUAAUAAUUUUAAAUGUAUACAAUUCAAAAGCCUUCCCAUUAGAGCAUGAUAUUUGGCCAGCUUUUACACCACAGCAACUACAGCUUAAAAUCUACAACACUUCACUUUCAAACACACCCUAAAUUAGAUGGAAACGAAUCCGCACGCUCCGUAUUUUGGUUGCAAAGUGUCUUCUGCUUUCUUCUUCUUUAAUGUAAGGUGACACAUGGUGCCACGUGGAAGUGUAUGCAUCGUUUGAGGCAAGAGGACAAUAAAACCAUUGCUUUCUCAAUGCUGGAAUCUCCAACUCCUCGUUGAAUGUAGAGUGGAAGAAAUUUGGCCAACGGUUGCAGUCUUUUGCUGGCUGCUAUGCGUGUAACCGCUUCAGUCCAUUCACAUUUUCUUAUCUCAUUUUAUUUUUUCGUUUUUUUAUUUUUUAAGAAAAGAGGGUAGAAAAAGUUUAAAUUGAUUUUUUUUUAAUCUCUAAUUUCUUUAAGAUUUGAACUCGGAUGACCGAAUAAAUAAAACAAUUUAAAUAUCACUCCAUGAGUCUCAUCACUAUUUCGCUGGUAUCAUGUUAGAUAGUAACAUUUUAGUGGAGUAUUAUCAAAUACCCGCCUAAUAUUUUAUGACGCAUAUUACUUUAUCAUCAAGAUUAUUUGACAACUACAUUUUACCACUUGUUGUUUUAGUAGUUAUUAUUUUUGCCACCAAAUGGUUAACAGCAACAGAAUGUCUAACAUAGCAUUUGUUAAAAUACCAGUUUACCCCUUAACCUACUUAAGUGUAUAGAAAUAUGAUUUUGUCCUAUAAAAUAAAAAAUUCCCAAAAAUAAAGGAUUGGAAAAUCAAAUAUUUUUAAUGUUAAAAAUAUUUGAAAAUAAAUGGCUAUAUUAAGUUUUAAUAUCUAUAUUUAUAUCAAUUUAUAAAUACAAAUCAACUUUAAUCAUUAAUUUAAUAAAAACAAACAAUUAUUUAAAAAAAUUAUUUAAUUAUAUUUUCUUGUUCUUUUCCCAUUUGCAUUAAGUUAUUUAAAUCAAUUUAAUAAGUAUAUAUCUAGGGGUGGGCAAAAAAACCGUAGUCUUAAAAAAACCGAACCGAACCGACGGUUUUUUCUAAUUCGGUACGGUUUUUUUUUGUACAAAAAACCGAACGGUACAAUUUAUAAAAAAACCGAAAUGUCGGUUCGGUAUUCGGUUCAUUUAACUGAACCGAAAAACCGAACAGAAAAACCGAAUUAUUUUUAAAUUUUAUUAAAUUAAAUAUGUGUUAAUUUUUAACUGAUUGUGUAAGAUAGCUAACAUAACCUUGCAUACACACAAUCAGAGUAUAUAUAUAUGUUAGUGUUACAAUUUCGUAAAUUUUUAUUUCCCAAAAUAAACCCUAAAAUCAAAUAUAAAAAAAUUUCGUAAAUUUCGUAAAUUUCAAUUUCUUGAAGAAUUUUUUAGGCUAAUGCAAUCUUAAAAACAACAGCAAGUAGUUGAGGAGUAAAUGAUAGUUGAUUGAUGUUGCUUACCAGUAAGUUUUCUUUAUUUUUUUUUAAACUAGCAUCUUAUUAUAUAGAUUUUUUAUUUAAUUAUUUAUUAAUAGUUAGAAAGAUAUUAUUGAUAAAAUGUGUUUUGAAUACUUUGUAUUUAUUGUUAAUAUUUGUAAUGAAAUUAGGAUGAACUUGUUGAAAAAAAUUAUUACAUUUAUGAAGCCCAAUGGGCUAAAAAUUUGAAAAUUCAAAAUAGGCCAAGAACCGAAAAAACCGAACCGAACCGAACCGAACCGAAAAGAACCGUUUGAAUUCGGUUCUUUUUUAGUUCGGUUCUUAUUCGGUUCUUUUUAUAAAAUAACCGAUUUAAAUCGGUUCUACUUAAUUUCGAACCGAACCGAACCGAACCGAACCGUGCCCACCCCUAUAUAUAUCAAUUACAAUAUUUAAUUUAAUAAUCAUAAAUAAUUGUAUUAUUUUAUUUAAAAAAUAUCAAUUUGCCACUUUGCUUAUUAGGAAAUUAUCAAAUUAUUUCAUGCAUUUUUUGUUUUGUAUCAAAUCAUUACUAAUGCUUAAAGUUUUCAACGGAAAAAGACUGUGAACUCCUAAAGUUUAGAAAAAUGGACAUAAAGUCCCUUAAUAUUAAAAAGAAAAACAUAUAACCCCCAUUAUUGUUAGUAAAUUCAAUUUGUUUUAAUAAUAAAUUUAUUUUAAUUUAUAAUUACUUUUAUGUCCCUAUAAUAAAUAAAUCAAUAUAUUGACCUAACAAAUGUCGAUGAUGUUGAAAUGAAUAACUUUUCAUUAAAAUUUAAAAUUGAGAUAUAUUUAUCUUUUGCCCAAGUUAUCCACUCUAAAUUAUCAAUAUACCCUUCCCAAUAAAAAAUGAUAAGUAAUAGAUAAAAUUAAAAUUCACUCUAAAAAUAAUGAAUAAUUUGGGCAAAAGGUAAUUACAUCUUACUUUUAAGUUUUAAAUAAAAAGUUAUUGAUUUCAUUAUACACAUGACAUGUUUUAAGUAAAUAUAUUAAUUAAUUUAUUAUAGGGACAUAAUAGUAAUUAUAAAUUUAAAAUAAAAUUACUAUUAAAAUGAACAUAAUUUAUUAAUAAAAGGGGUUAUGUGUCUUUUUUGAAAAAUGAAGGGAUUUUAAGUCUUUUUUUCCAAACGUUAGGGAGUUUAUUAUUCUUUAAUCAUUUUUCAAAUUGAAGUAACGUAAUUUUUUUAACGAAGUUAACGAUUUAGUGGUAAAAUGAUAAUAAUAAAAUGUGAUAAAAUAUAAUUAUAAAAAAAUAUUAAACGUUAAGGAGUUCGAGGUUUGAGAAUGCAGCUGCGAUUAAAAUUGCCAUCCUAAUAGUCAUAGCUGACUUGAAUCUGAAUUAACCUGGAGGCCAAUCUAAUAUUUGAAUACCAGAUAAUUAAAAAAAAAAAAUCUGGGUGGUUGAAUAUUAUCAUGGAUAUUUAAUAUUAGGAUCCCUCUAAGUUACAUGCAUGUACCUUACAAUCCUCUCACAUAAAUAGUAUCCAUACACUAUUCAUGUGAGAGGAAUGUAAGGUACAUGCAUGUAACUUAGCAUUACCCUUAAUAUUAUCCUUAUUUUAGCAGACGACAUUACUUAUUAUGCGGUGGAGGGUAAGAGGCAGCUAGAACUUCGUACUUCUGUAGCUUCAUUUUCUUGACAUAUCAUGAAUAAUAAGAACGUUAAUCAUGAUUAAUUUUUUCUGGUUUUUGCGGUCCAAAUAGGAUAUCCAUGCAAAUAUGAAAUGUGGAUGGAUGUACUGUUAAAGAAGGAACAGUAACAAUGGCAGACAGACCCACUUUUCCGGUACCCACCAAACUGCCAAAGACAAAGUGCAACUGUUAAAAGGCUGCGCAUUUAAGCAACAUCCCUUCGUAUGUGUAGGAGUGGCCUUCCCUUAACCAAAUACAAGCAUGAGGCUUAUGAGUAAUUAGACAAGAACUUGAAUUAAAUCUACUAGCUGUUAAGUAACUGAUUUGAGCUUCCCUCUUUUUGCCUGUUUCUUAACUUUAUUUUGCCUUUUUCACUUCUAUUAAACUAUUGGCUUGUAAUAUUCCUUACCCGUGAAUAUGUUUUACUUCCUCAUUCAUUUUUGCUUCAUAUGAGUUCGUCACUCUUUACUAUAUAAGAUAGGAAUCCUUUAAGUUCAUGCUCGAGAGAUACUAAAAUCCAUUUUGCUUUCUGGGUUUGCUUCAAAUGGAGAUACUGGGAUUGUAUUCCUAUUAGUGUGUUUAUUGUUUAUUCCCUUCGAGGUUUGCUUUAAAUUUUCAUUUUUGAAGGGUUUUUGUUUGAUGUACUUUUGUAGAAGCAUAAAGGGUGUGAGUGUUUCAGUUAAGAGUAUUUUGUGGAACUUUCAGUUAAGUUUAGUUAUAGCAGUUCAGCCGGUGAAUUCUGGGAAAAUUUUAAUUUUUAUUCCAUUGCUAUUCAAAACCAUGGCAUCGGUUAUAAAUUUUCCGGUAUCUCCUAGUUUUGUGAUAAAUUCACAGUAUAAAACUUCUUUUAGAGCAAGAGCUCAGAGUGUGGGUGGUGGUGAUUCAACAGUGCUGUCUUCUGGUUCGAUUGCAGUGAAUGGGGAUCCUGUAAGCAGAGAGAAGGAGAAAAAUGGAGCCUUGAUUGAUGUAGGAAAUGGGACAUUAAAGCCUAGAGUUGAGAAGAAAAAGUUGGUUAAAAAUGUUAUCUCGGAAGAACUGGAAGUGCUCUGGGAUGAUGGAUACGGGACUGACAGCGUCAAGGAUUAUCUUGAUGCAGCUAAAGAGAUAAUUAAGCCCGAUGGAGGGCCACCCCGGUGGUUUUGCCCGGUUGACUGUGGCUGUCCUUUGAAGGGUUCUCCAACUCUUCUGUUUUUGCCUGGUAAUUGUCUCUCUCAUCAAGUUGAUAAGCUGAUGGUAGUUAAAAUUUUGCUCUGUUCUUUUUUUAUGAAGAGACAUGUAAAUAGCAAGAGUCCAGUCUCUGACAAGUUAUUUUGUUCCUUAAAGUUCAGUUUAAUAUCUUGUGAGUUGGAACUCUGAAAGUAUUGCCGUUCCGUCUUGCUACAGUAGGAAUUUGCAAGGUCUAUAUAUAUAUAUAUAUUUAUUUAUUUAUUUAUAUAUCUUGAUGCAUGCAGGGAUUGAUGGACUUGGAUUAGGCCUCAUUUUGCACCACAAACCUCUUGGGAAGUAAGUGUUUAUGCUAGAAUAUUUUUCUAAAAUUUGGACAUGUCAUAGUGCCUGAAAGUCACUAUUAGUUAUAUUUUUUUUUCUAAUUACUGUUCAAUUAAAGCAAUAAUAUUUGAUUAAGAAUUUUUUGGUGCACGCAGAGCAUUUGAAGUUAGGUGCCUUCAUAUUCCUGUUUAUGAUCGAACCCCAUUUGAAGGUUUCAUCCUCUGGAUUCAUUUUGAACUUUCAUCUUUUUUUUUUUAAAAUUUAUCACUAAUUUAUGUUUUUUAAUUUUUGUAAGGACUGGUAAAAUUUGUUGAAGAAACUGUGAGACGUGAGCAUGCCUCAUCUCCAGAGAAACCAAUUUAUUUGGUGGGGGAUUCCUUUGGAGGAUGCCUAGCACUUGCUGUUGCUGCUCGUAAUCCGACCAUUGACCUAAUCUUGAUACUAUCCAAUCCGGGUUAGUUUUCAGAUUUUUAGUUUUACUAUUUUCCUCAAGCAAGUGCUUGAUACUAUCAAGUAGACUGAUAUUCUUAUCCUUUAAAUUUAGCUACAUCGUUUGGCAGAUCACAGCUGCAACCCUUGUUCCCUAUCUUGAAGGCUAUACCUGAUGAAUUACAUGGCGCAGUCCCUUACCUUCUUAGCUAUGUUAUGGGUAAUUUCUGCUGCUUCAAAGUCGACUGCAAUUGAAUAACCUUUUGGGUUUCUGAUAAAAGUUUGCAUGUCACUUGCAACUUUUCUGCUAUUGCUAUGUUUAUUUAUUUAUUUUCUUUUGAAUGACAUCAGGAGAUCCAAUAAAGAUGGCAAUGGUUAAUAUUGAGAACAGGCUUCCUCCUAGAAUAAAACUCGAACAAUUGUCUAACAACCUCCCUGCUUUGCUGCCUCGACUUUCUGUAAGAAUUGAUUGCUCUUGUGCUUGUAGUUUAUAGUGCUUCUAUUUUGGAAAAAAAUUCUGAAUAAUUUAUUGGUUGCAUAGAUACUUCAUAAUGAUUUGCUAAUUCUGGGCCGAUAUCUUUGCUGGCAGCUAUAUUUUCACAUAAAUUUCUAAUGUUACCUUCUUUUGGUCAGGUUAUGUCUGAUAUUAUCCCCAAGGACACUCUUCUUUGGAAGUUGAAGUUGCUUAAAUCAGCUUCUGCUUAUGCUAAUUCCCGCCUCCAUGCUGUUAAAGCUGAAGUAUUAGUGCUUGCCAGGUCCUUAUUCUCUCAAGCGUUACAGUGUUUUUUCAUAUAAUUUACCAUGCAUAAAUAUGAAUUGGUUGCUUUUGGUUUUGUCACAAUUGUUUUAUAUCCUUCCCAAAAAAGACUUAUAUGAAGGGUCUUAGUGUUGGAACGCAAUCUCUUCAAGUUCAUGAAUUUACCAAUUGUUGUUUUAUUCUUGAAGUAUACUGCUAGUCUGUUAUGUAGAUAGUUUUCCCUCUCUCUCUCUCUCUCUCUCUCUCUCUAUAAUGGGCAUAAAUUAGAUAGUAACUUUGAGCCUUAAUCAUAUGCCAGAAAUUUGGAGUAAUCAAGUAUUAUCUCAUGUUUGCAUCUUAUCUUUCUUGUCAGCUAAUUUACCGUUCCAUGCUUUCAAUGCUUAUUAAGGUGAAAGAAUGAAGACAAAAAAAUCUUCGUGGGUUGUAAGAUUGAUUUUUUUUUUUUUAAUAAUUCCAGUGGCAAGGAUAACAUGCUUCCUAGUGAGGAUGAAGCAAAACGCCUCAAUAAUUCAUUGCAGAAUUGCAUAGUUCGCAACUUCAAGGACAAUGGCCAUACCCUUCUACUGGUAAUUUAUAUGAAGUGACUGUGUGUAUGUAUAAUAUUACUUACUUAAUGCUGCCAUGCCUAAGCUUUCAUCAUAAAUGUGUUCAGAGAAGUGAAAUUUUUGGUCACAGAAAAUUAUCGUCAUUUGUGUUCACUCAUAAUUAUGUUCCCAAGUUAUUAACUGAGCAGUGCAUAAAAUAGUAACCGAUGAUUAUUGUUAAACUAUCUAUAAUGCCUAUUGGCUUAUAUUUGUCUGUAAAAAAUAGUCAACUAUACCUGUUUUAGUAAUGUAAUUGGUUUUCAUACCUGAUGUUUGAUACAAACAAUUUAUAGAAGCCUUUGAGUUUUCUGUUUGUUUAGUAAAAUAUGAUUUUUGUUAUCCUUUCAUUCUUUAAACCCUCUCACGUAAACAAAAAUUUCUGGACCAAUCUCUAUGUUAGUUGAUGCAAUGUUUCAAAUUUAGAGAAACUUCUUAAAAAUGUUUCUCGGUUUAGAUUUUGAGGCAUUGAUAUCUCUCUUGAAUGUAAGAAUGUCAAAAUAAAAUAAUCUAGGACAUUAUAUCUCUAUUUGACUGCUCUGAAUGCCAUGCCACAAUGAAUUAAGUUCAAUUAACAACCAACUUUAAUGAAGAAAGUCAAAGUUUCAAAUGUACUGCACUCUUCUUCUUUAUCAAGAUUUAACCAAAAGAAGAACAUCCUGCUGAUAUAGCCUUGUCCUUAAAAGUUUGGGGUCCUUCCUCAUUGAUGUGACACACACAGGCCACACAAUCCAAACGGUCAUGUUUAUAGCCGUGAUUGUGAAUCUAUAUUCUAUAGUCACAUCCAUGCACCGUAAAUUUGUUUUUCAGUCCUAUCAAAGUCUGUUCCCUUACUAAUUUUAUGCUGUGGGGAUAAAGGCAUACCUGACAGCUUUCUUGUUGGUACAGGAAGAAGGCAUUAGUUUGCUUACUAUCAUUAAAGGUACUUGCAAAUACCGUCGCUCAAGGAAGUUAGAUUCUGUUGCAGAUUUUCUGCCUCCUAGUAGGCAAGAAUUCAAAUAUGCAUUUGAUCAAGUAGUUGGGUAAUCAACAAAACAAUUCCAUGCACACUUAUUUAUUUUAAUUUUUGGUGAAUAUUUCCAUGGAUUCAUUUUUGAUUCCUUUCAACCUUAUCCAUGAUUAAGAUUGUUCUUAGGACGGGACCGCAGUCACCUGAUCCUGCUAUAGACUGACCAUUUGAAAACAUUAUGAUUAUGCAUGCUUAGAGAUAUUUAAUCUGAAAGAUAAGAAUUUUAGUUUUAUUGUCUGUGUUUUUUAAUCAUUUGAUAUUCUCAGAGAACUUGUCAAACCUUGUUCUGAAUUUAUGCUAGACUCUUUGCUCACCUUUCUUCUGUCUUCCUUUUUGGACAAAAGGUAAACCUAUUGAUAUUUUUGACAAAGUUUGGCUGCUGCAAGAAAACUAAAGUUCAUCUCUUUUGAUUUUUCACCUUAUCAGUGAGAAAGUUGUAUUGUAGAAUCAUAAAAAUUUUAGCAUAUGUGAUUAACAUAUUCAUCUGUUUCCUCUAAUCGCUUCGCUCAAUCUGAUCCUAAAUGAGCUGUAUUAAAUUUAUGUGAACCAACUAAGUUUUAUAGACACUAAAUAAACUUGUAUGGCUUUGACUUGUUAUCUCAUGUUAACUGUAAACAAUCAGUAGCAAGGAUAAUAAUCUUCUGCGGCUGUUGUAAAGAAUGUUCAUUUCUAUCCAGAUUAAGGUUGACUAUUGAGCACUUUGGUCUGAAACCUAGUUAGGUAGUACCUCGCAUCUCCUAUUCAUGACUGAGGGUUUGGUUGUAUACCCACUCAAACCAUCCUGUUUGAGUUGCAACUUUUUGCACAGCUUUCUGUACUUAGGCUGAAGCUGAUAUUGUAUCACAUAAAUUGCAGAUUGCUUCGUGUUGCUUCUAGUUCAGUCAUGCUAUCAACUUUGGAAGACGGAAAAAUUGUCAAAGGCCUUGCUGGGGUUCCAAAUGAAGGUCCCGUCUUAUUAGUUGGUUACCACAUGCUACUGGGAUUUGAACUUUAUUCACUUGUUGAAGAAUUCUUGAGAGAGAAGAAUAUAAUGGUUCAUGGUAUAGCCCAUCCAGAGAUAUUUUUGGGGAGGCUUGAGAAUUCAUCCAAUGAAUUUGGUAUGACCGAUUGGUUAAAAGUAAUGGGUGCUGUACCUGUCGCAGCAAGAAACCUUUUCAAAUUGUUGUCAACAAAAUCACAUGUUCUUCUUUAUCCUGGUGGUGCACGUGAGGCUCUCCACUACAAGGUAUGUUGAGUUCCUUGCUGUCUUUUUUAACUCAAUGUCUUGGUAGACAUAGACCUCACAUAUUUUCCAGUAUCUGCUCGGUUUUAUUGAGAAAAUGGAAGCACACAUGUGUGAAGAAGUUUUAUAUGUCACUUUAGAUUAUAAGUCGGCCCAAACACUGGUUUCCAUAUUCUGACGUUCAUUAUUGCCUGACCAGCGAUACAGUUUCUUUUCAUCGUCUUUCAAAUUAACCAUAAAAUGCCCAAAACACUCAAGUCCUUGGGAAUUAUAUUUGUUGGAUUAUAUUUCUGAUAACCUGGGCAGUAUCAGAAUUAUUCAUUCAUUCUGUCAGGUUUUCAUCUCUUAUAACAUUAGUUGUUUGAGCUCAAAAUGAUUAAAAUGUCAGAAUUCAUCCUGCUAACUUAUAUGUUCUUUGUUCAAUUUCUUCUCUUUAAUAUGUUUGCAGAUUGUUUCAGUUGUUUCACAAAGUCCAUCUCUGUGCUUUACUGAUACUUGACCCAACAAUUUAAUUUGAUAAUGUUUCUGCAAUUUUUCAGGGUGAGGAAUACAAACUGUUUUGGCCCGAACAGCAGGAAUUUGUGAGGAUGGCAGCACGGUUUGGGGCCACAAUUGUACCCUUUGGGGCCGUAGGAGAAGACGAUAUAGCAGACGUAAGCCUUUGCAUCUUAUUGCUAACAUUUUUCAAAUUUUUACUGAAGAGUCUCCCUUUGACAUUGGAAAUUGGUCUUCACUGGCAUCCAGCCUUCCUUGUUCAUUAGAUUCUAUGAUAAGUAGUAGUUAUAGAAUUUGUGAUAUAGGAACUGUAUCCUAAUUGAACAAGUAAUAUUUCAGAGCAAUGAUUAAUAUAUGAAACCUUGAAUUUUCUAGGUAGAAUCUGAAUGAUUUAAGAUGUCUUGAUACUUAAUUGCUAAUUCUGUUUCCUUUUUCCUCUCCUGAACCAUAAACAACUAACGAUAUCUUAUUUUUACCUGGAUUGGAAAUUAAUAACUUGCUCGGUUACCAUCUUUGUAGCAGUUGGUUCUUGAUUACAAAGACCUAAUGAGUAUCCCCGUGAUUAAUGACUAUGUCAGGGAAUUGGCUCGUGACACUGUAAACAUAAGGUAAUUACCUUCCUUUGAUCAUAUUUUCCUUUUACCUACUGUAGUAUUGGAAAAUUUGUCUUGUAUAGCAUUUUUUUUUUAAAAAAAAACCUUCUUUUCCAUUAGUGGUUAAGAAUACUAAAUCAAAGCAAGGCCACAGAAGAAGUGCAAAACAAAAUUGUAAGCAAUGUAUCAGCUGCAAAAUACAAUGUGAAGAUAUGAUUACAUGUACUGAUCAUAAAGAAUAUCCUCUGGUUCUAGGGAUGAAACUAGAGGGGAGGUUGCAAACCAAGCACUCUUUUUUCCAGGACUUUUGCCAAAGGUUCCUGGCAGAUUUUAUUAUCUGUUUGGGAAACCCAUUCAGACAAAGGGAAGAGAAGUUUCUCUGAAGGACAAGGAAAAUGCAAACGAAUUAUACUUGCACAUAAAAUCUCAAGUAGAACGCUGUCUUGACUACUUGUUGAAGAAGCGAGAGGAGGAUCCUUACAGGAAUAUUAUUGAUAGAACAGCGUAUCGUGCGGUUUAUGGUGAUGAAGUUCCAACAUUUAAGCUAGAUUGAUGCAACAGGUAUAUUAUUCCAGGUAACAAUGUCAAGCCACCAUUAUUUACCGAGGUAUAUUCUUCCAGACAACAAUGUGAAACCAUCAUUCUUUACCAGAAGGUUGAUUAUGUGUAAUACCAUUUAAAAAUGUAACAAAUACAUGGUGCUCCCAGUAAUGUCACAUGUUCAUUCUUUAUUGGAACAUAAAUUUUGUAAAAUACCGUGCAAGCAAGAAAGCCAUUGUUCUUCUUUAAGUUCUAUUCAUUCUAAUGUUGCAAUUAAGGUCUAAUAUUUUUUAUUACCUACCUUUAAGGAAAUACUUAUUUUCCCAUCUAUCUGACAUAUGUCAUUUUGUGGAGUUGAACUCCCUACGGAUGACAAUGGAUGUAACAACACGUUGCUACUCAAACUUUAGCUGUUCGGAGAGUCUGUAAUUAACCUUACUGAGAAAAGCAGAUCACUGGGUUUGGUAGUACUUCAGGAAACCAGCAAGACAAACAAUAAAGCCGUUGAGGGUUUCAAUUUCGUGCACCCCAAGUUCCCUGCCAACUCGAUCUUCCCAAGACUGGGAAUUAUACAUGGAAUAAUAGAAAGAAAUUUAUCAUCUGCCAGGUGCAUCUGGAUUCGAGGAGGAUGAAGUAUAAAUUUAUUAGUGGAAACCAGCACUGAAUAAUUACAUUAUGAAAGUGGGCUAACAAUGCAGGCCAAUGAGCAGGCAAUGCCACUGAAAUAUAUGAUUCUGAAGAGUUUUUGAUGACACAGCAGCAGAAACUACUGUGAGUUUUAGAGGUGCAAAGUGCUUUUAUGGAAAAGAAAACUCAAGUUAAAAUGAUUAGCGUAUUUUCUAGUGUCACUUUAUCUGCUUUUGGUGCAUUGACCUUUUUGCGUGAAGUAUUUUGGGGUCUGAACAUGAACUAUUGUGUGUGUGCCAGAAAAGAACAUGAAAUGUUUUAGAUAAGAGAAAUUUCGAGAAAAAUAAGUCAGUUGGAGUACACUUUAGAGAUGCAAAGUGCCUUUUAGAUUGGAAAAUUACUUUUUACAGAAGCACUUGAUUCGUGUUUUUCUUAAUGGUGCUCAUAUUUGCUUUUGUGAAAAGAAAGCUUGUACUCAAAAAGUUUGCUCCGCAUAAUUACUGCUGCAAACACCCUUAUUCUUUUCACAUUUACAAAAAAGGACUACAUUACUGUGAACAAUAAUGCAUUCCGGCUUGUAGACCUAACUGCAAUCAAGGAAGAAUAUCUGGGUUUUAGUAUAGAUGGACUUUAGUUUAGGGGUCACUCUGUAGAUAUUUGCUGAUGUGGCAAAAGUCGUUAAGACCUGGUGCGGGGUGAUUUUCUCUCUUGUUGCUUGAUGAAAUUGGAUGACUCUUGUUCCUUUGGAAUCAGUGUAAUCUCAUCUGUAAUUAUUGAUCUGCUUCGUGUCAGAUUGAUCAAUAAAAGUGAGCUAAUUUUUCCUUCUAUAAUGAAGCUUGGUGCUGGUUUUAUUUUUGUUCUUGGUUCUAGUUUUGUUCUGAUUUUGUUCUUGACCUUACAUCUUGGCCGAGAUUCAUUUUUCAGUGUGUUUUGCUAUUCGAUUUGUUCAUACUCUGAAUCUUUACAAUUACACUGCAUGCAAAACAGUGUAAAGGGGAUACAGGGGAUAGGUAAUGGAGGUUACAGCCCAUGAAGAAUAUGAUUCUUUAAACUUUUUUUUUUUUUUUUUAGUGAUAAAAAUUGAAAAAGAAUCUUUAUAGGGGGAAAGAAUAAGAAUAUAAUGCUAACUGAAUCUGGGAAGAAGAAUAUAAUGCUUGGCUGUCUUGAUGUGGGCACAAAGACAAUCGUUGAAAUUCUGGCAUGAUGGCGUUUUUAUGCUUCCACUAGCUGUAAUUCCCAGUGCCAAUCCAUUGAAGAUUAUGUUUCAAUGACAAUUACACAAAGGGAUGUUUGUAGUCCUUACAGUGAAAGAAAAAUUAUUGGCGUGAAGUGAAUUAGUGAAUGGAAGUCACGAUCCUUGGAGCGAACCAGAAUAUGAUUCAUUCUGUUAACUUUCCGGAAAUGAAAGGGAAUCCCCACGCGCAUUAGGAAAAGGUAGAAUAUGACUUGGAGAAGCUAUGCCUUUGAAUCUUACAUCAUUUCAUUUAAGCAAGAUAGAACCUAACUUUUGUUCUAUAUAAUGUGAAGUUUUAGCAUCUCUGAAAGGUGAGAAAGAAGUGCUUUAGUUCUCCACAUAGAGAGAAAUAAGUUCCCAAACUCUAGGCUAAGCAAUGGCUAGUUAUGGCUACCCCUCUAAAGCCUACCCUGCUUACAAUGAUUUAACACCAUGGGUAAAUUAUGGGGACAAAAUCAGAUAUGCCCCCGAUCAUGUUUGCAAGCCAGUCGUUGUUGAUGCUGAUGGGAGGAAACAUCCGGUCGUUUCUUACACUCCCAGCAAUAGCGCAGAAACCCGUGUUAUAGAAACUCAAACCAUUGUGAUGCAGGAGGUCCGUUCACCUGUUGUCAAUGGCAACACUGGUUAUGGACAUGUUAAAGAUACACCUUUUGUCAAUGGAUACAAACAUAGUUCUCCCGAGCAUGGGCAUGGCAAUCCUGGUUAUGGACAUGUUGAUGAUAAGUGGUAUAGGUCUUCAAAUCCAGAUCCUGGCCGGGAUAAGUGGUAUAGGUCUUCAAGUCCAGAUGAUGGCCGCGAUAAGUGGAAUAGGUCUUCAAGUCCAGAUGAUGGCCGCGAUAAGUGGCAGAGGUCUUCAAGUCCAGAUCAUCAUGGCCGCCCUCAUAAGGUUAAGGAGUUUCUCACCAAGGUGCAAACUGAAGCUAGUUUACCGAAGAGGUUUGGUCUUUUGAGUCCUUCAGUUUGGCGCCGGUCUCCUGAUUCCACAGGCCAUCAUGGGCAUGGGCCUGGGAAUGGCAAUACCGGCUAUGGUGAUUACAGUGACAAGAGCAGCAAGGACGGGCACAAGCCGAGUGUUCGUAAUGGGGAUUAUGAUAACUACUACCACAACAAUGGUAGCAGGACGGAACCGACUGUGACCAAUUCUGGUGGAUGGACAAGGCCAACUCGUGCAGGAUGGGGUGUACCACCUGAUGCCUCACUUUCCAGUCCAACAAACGAUAUCAACACAGCUGUGAGGUACUUGCAGGAAGGUGCCAGACCUACUUCAGUCACCACUGCUCCGCAGUCUCGCGUCACUGUACCGAUCACAACAGGACCUAGACGAGAUGACUAUGGUCAAACUAUCGACAGCAGAGAGGCUGCAAGGCGGUAUGGCAACCUCGGUUCAUCGCCUGUGCCCGAAGAGAGGUACACAGGGACUAUUGACAGCAGGGAGGCUGCGAGAAAGUACAGGGGCACAACCGUGUGACAGCAACAAUUGUGCAUGGCAUAAUAGUAUUAAGCUCUGGCAUGUGAGUCCAUAUAGUGUUUCCUUGGAUGACCCUUUGUUACUGUCUGUCUGGGUGCGUUUUCUAUUUUGUUUUUCGCUUCCUUGUUGCUUUCUGGGACCAAUAGGUAAGUUGUCAUAAUCGCGUGUUUGUGAUAUCAGUAGUAAAAUAAGCUUUCAUUAUGAAGCACUUUGCAAUAAAUUGAUGGAGCAUAUUUUUUUUUUCAACAAUGAUACAAGUGAAUAACAAUUCAUUUACUUUUAACCUCUUCACUGAGUGAGUGGAGAUACAGUGCUUUAUUAAGGUCAUCUACAGCUAUAAUAACAGGUCCAAUUGCUUUUUAUAAAUGAAAUGCAAAGCAGAAAAUAUGGGUUAAUUGCACAAGAUUGAGACUUCAUUUACAUUAACUUAUGCAAUUAAAACACCAACAUAUCAGUGAGACUCUGGAAUGUAGGGUAACUGCUAAGCUACUUCUUCUUGCAUAUUAUGUGACAGAUGUCAUUUGGCAGAGUUUAGGAAAGAAUUUGAUAUUUUUAAUUGCGAUAGCAUAAUAACAGAAUGACAAAAACUACUCAAGUCAGAGUGAAAGCUAGUUUUUUUAAGUUCAAAAUUAAUUUUCGACAACAUCAUGGCCUUGCUUGUUGAACCUGCAUACAAUAUUCUGUAGAUACUCUCUGGAUGUUGUUAGAUUUAAAAAGACCUUAAAAUUGGCAGAGCUUUGAAAAACUUGGGUAUCAGAUUUGAUUAUGGUGACAAAAAUUAGAUAUUAAAAGCUAGCAACUAAUUUCUUUAUUUCGCUAAUUCCCUUGGGCGGCCACAGUGGCAUUUUAUUGGUGGGUUCGCGGAACUGUUCUUGGAAAAGACCAUCGCCGUGACACUAAAUGCUAGCUUGUUGACCAACUUGUUGACACUCUAGCUAUAUGUGUGUAAAUUAGUCAACGAGGUUCUUUUGUUCUUAACUUUUAAAAAAUAAAAGUGAAGUGAAGAAGAACAUAACAUGGGCCAUGGAAGCUUAGAAGAAGAAAUGACAAUCUCUGUGUAUGUUUAGACCUUAGAAGAAGAAAUGCUUGUGAGCACGAGGAGCAAGAAAAUAAAAUUUGUGACCUCUCCAAAUUGACACCCAUACCCCAUGCAUUAAUUAGGAGUACUUUGUUUCUCUUUUCGUUUGCUAGCUAUAAACAAAGAAAUUAAUAAGCUAUUUGAGAAUUCCAUGAACCGGUUCUAUAUUCCUUA